GUGGUAUCAAAGGUAUGCUGACUCUAGGUCGUUAGACUAGUUAGAAAUAGAAAGCCUAGUCUAUUAAAAAUAUAGUUAUUUUGCUCUUACAAAUUAUUUUAUUAAUCUUGCCUCCUUAAAAUUCAACUAAGUUGACAUUUUCUCUUGUAGAUGGUGCAUACUAUCCAGAUCACCCGUGUGAACACCAACUAUAUCCCUCUGCCACAACAAGUUCCUGUCUAUUUAGUGGUAGUAGAGGAAGUCCCUGUGGAUCUUCACCACCUUCGUGUGGAGAAUGAAGUGAUUCUAGAGGACAGCUCAGAGGAGAUUUUGGAAGCGCCCACCAUGUUGUCAGAGUCACAAACCUUUGCAGCUGGAGCUUCAUCUUCAGUAUCGCCAGCACCAGUAGCUCAAGCUCCGGCUCCUGGAGGCGAGAAUCCAGAUGAUUUUGGUGAUGGUGGAGAAGAUGAAGAAGAAGAAGAAGAAAAUAACAACGAAGAAGCCAACGAUGAGCAGGAGGACAACUUUGUUGGGAUAUGGCCUAUCACUAAGCAUUACACUUCAAUGUUCGAGACGAGACACUUCCCAAACCUGCUACAGGAUCUACUGCAUGCGCUAGGAACCUACGUCCGACCUCUAUAUGACACAAGGCGAGUGUCUGAGCCUCCUCGGGCUUGCUACUACAUCACUCGUGUGCAUAUUAGGGUGAUGGAUGCAGGAGAUAGAUGUUUCAGGACUCUAUCAGCCCAUGAGUCUCUAACGCCACUAUCUACCUACGCUACUUCGGUCAGCAAUGUUGCUAGCAGAGCUCUGUGGUCUCUUAGCCACACUUAUCGGCAGCAGCUGCACGACAAGAGGUACAGACAUCUUCCUCUAUGUCUUCGUGGAGAAAGCCAGACCAGUGUUGUUCCAGGUGAAGCUGGAGAAGAUUGCCUCAACUCCCUUGUAGGUGUUGUGGCAGGUCUUAACACUGACCUGGACAGCACUACCCUGGAUUUCUCAAGGGAUCCAUGGAGAACAUGAAGAAGCACAUGCCAGGAUUGCAGCCCUCGAAGCUCAGCUCGAAGGAAGUAAUUCACCCGAAGCCCAAGUCUUUGUCAUAGCUGUGUCCCCGCCCCGCAAGAGGAUUCGCUAUGGAGUCCCAGGAUCUAUCACCAGGCUACUCUAGAUUUAUAAGCCAUGUUGUAAUAAUGAAACUUAAGAAAAAGGAAUUCGUAUCCCUCACUCGAGGAGGCAUGUCUGUCAGCGAAUACCGAGAUCAUUUCACCCAACUUUCUCACUAUGCACCAGAGGAAGUUGACACAGAUGAGAAGCGCCAAGAGCAAUUCUUAAAAGGUUUGAUCAUACCAUUGAACUAUCAGUUACAAAGUUAGAGUUUCCCCAAUUUCCAGACUCUACUCAAUAAGGCAAUUUGCCUAGAAAGCAAAAGAAGAGAAUUAUCUGAUCACAAGAGAAAAUUCCAAGGACAGUCUAGCAAAAACACCCAACAAAACAACUCUCAAGGUUCUUAGUUUCGCUUAGGAAAUCAGAGUGGAAAUAAUAACUAUCAAGUGCAAUGCUCUGGACAGCAGGGACAGAGAAACAACCAAUACCAAAAACAACAGAGGAACAACUCUCAGACCGGUCAAAGGUCUAGUGGUUACCAACAAAAUCGUCAAGGAAGCGUCAUGAACACACCGGCCAGAAAUAACAAUACAACUACUCCAGUCCAACCUAGUGGAUGUUUCAAAUGUGGUGAACUUGGUUAUUAUGCCAACAAUUGCCCUAAGCACAACCCACAUACACCCCAGAGCAACAACAGUCAAAGAGUUGAUCAAAAUACACAUGCUCAUGGUACUGCACAGAACAAGACUCCGCAGAACCAGAGUAAGGGAAGAAUUAAUCAUGUGACAGCAGAAACAGUUCCUGAGGAUGCCGACGUGGUGUAUGGUAUGUUCCUUAUUAACUCCAUACCCACAUCAGUUUUAUUUGAUUCUGGAUCAUCUCACUCCUUCGUAAUAAAGUCAUUUGUGGAAAAGCAUAAAAUAUCAAACUAUCCUUUGAAGAGGAAACUACUAAUUAGAUCACUAAGAGGUGAACUUAAAGCCACUCACUCAUGCCCUCAGACUAAGCUUGAGAUUAGAGGAAUAAGCUUUCUAGUAGAGCUGAUAAUCUUGGAAUCGAGUGGAAUCGAUGUGAUACUUGGAAUAGACUACUUAACCAAGUAUCAUGGAGUAAUAUCUUGUGCUAAGAGGACGGUUACAUUAACCAGUCCGCAUGGAGAAAGAAUUGAAGUCAAUGUUAGUAUGUCCACAGAAGCAGAAGCCAUGGUAAAUCAAUUGGAGGAGAAAUCUUUGGAACACAUCAGAAUAGUGUGUGAAUACCUAGACGUAUUCACGGAGGAAUUACCAGGUAUGCCACUUGAUCGUGAUAUAGAGUUUUCUAUUGAAUUAUUAGCCAGAACUGCACCUAUUUCAAAAAUACCUUAUAGAAUGGAUGUCAAUGAUCUAGUCUAACUGAAGAAACAAAUAGAAUAAUUACUAGAAAAAUGUUUUAUUCGCCUAAGUUUGUCUCCUUGGGGAGCCCCAGUUCUAUUUGUGAAUAAGAAAGAUGGUUUGAGAAGAAUGUGUUGAUAGGAUCACGAUGCCCAACAGGGGGUGAAUUGGGCUUCUCUAAAAUUUCACAAAUUUAAACCUAAGCAAGAGCCCAACUUCACCCAACUACUAGCAAUAAAUAAAUACUACUAGAAAAACAACAACCCUAAGUCAUUGCUUCAAAUACUUGCUAAGCAAUGGAACAAAGUGAAAUGCUCAAAGUAAAUGUGAAAUGUAAAGCAAGGGUAAGAAGACUCGUCCAAUUUUUUACCGAGGUAUCGAAGAGUCGGCACUCUUCCACAGUGCACCGGACAAUGAAGAGUGAUUGUCCGGUGCACACCGAACAGUAUGGUGUGAUCGCUAAAAUUCAUCUUCGCGAACUCGUCGCUCUCGGGUUUCUCGGGGGCAGAGGCGCUGCCUGGCCCCACAGUUAGAGGGUGCACCGGACAGUCCGGUGCCCCUAAGAUAGCAAACCCAAAUUCUAUUCCUUAGGUUUUUCUAAACCGUUUUCGUUCUAACUUGUGAGUGUGUUAUAGAGUGACACCUAGCACUAGAUGUGAGUGUGAAUAUGCACCAACACUACACUAGAAAUAUCUUGGUCAAACUACUCAUCGACAACCCCUCUUUAUAGUAAGGCUAAAAUAAAAAUAGAAGACCUAAUUCUAUACCAAGUGUCCACAACUCCUUUGACAAUCAGAAUAUGAAGACAUUCAUCUUUUGAUUCGCCUUUUUCGGUCGUCGCUUCAAGUUCUCAUCAGAGGGAAUGUUUUCACCGUUGCAACGCAACUUCCUAUAAUGCGACCUAACUUACCAUUCGAUCUACAAAACACACGUUAGUCACAUAUAAUCUUAUGUUGUCAUUAAUCACUAAAACCAACCAGGGGCCUAGAUGCUUUCAAUCUCCCCCUUUUUAGUGAUUGAUGACAACCCUACAAGAGUGUGAGAGUAGUUUGUUCGUUUUUUCUGUCAAUAGAGAAGAUGGUUAGUGAUACUCAUCAAAUUUCACAGAAAAAAUCGUGCAAUAUAAUAGUAAGUAUAAGCGCAUACACAACAUAAGUUUCUUGUUCAUACAAGUAUGAAAUGAAAUCCAUGAACAAGAACAGAACGACUGGUGACAACAUCAUAGGUGAAAACAUAAUACACACACAAUCAUUAACAAACAUCGAGAGCAUAUCACAAAGUUUGUGAAUUAAACAUCAUACAAAAGUGGAGCUAGUACAGAGAGUAUCAUGCAUAUAGAUUACACCAAAAGAUCAAGAGCUCUCUCAAAUAACUCCCUAACUCCCCUAGCUCUCACAACUCACAUCUCUCCCCCUUUAGCGUCAAACACCAAAAGGAUAACCCAAACCUACAUCCUAGAAGAAGGAGGAGGAGGUGAAGGCGCAUCAGGUCGCGGUCGAGGCAGAAGAGCAAACACGAGCUGAGUAUCUGAGUCAGUCUCGGAUCAAGGAUCUAUAGUAGAGGCUAGAGCUGGUGCUGACUCUGACGCUAGCUGCGGUGCAGGAUCUACCGGAGCUGGAGCAGUCACAGAAACAACCACGCCAGCAGUGGUAAUAGCAGACGCUGGUGGCACUGGUGGCUGAGCGGUGACAGGUCCGACGACCUGGGUCGAGAAGUCCAGAGUGACUGGCCUGAGCGGAGAGAUGGACGGACCAAAAAAGUGGAGCUGGGGUCCGGACUAAAUGGCUGGCACAACUGCAGCCUGAAGAGCUGGAGGAGGAGCAGACUACACUGGAGAGAUCGGAACACCAGUGUGCUGGAGAAUAUGAGUCAUGAACACUCGGUGCUCUACCCUGUCUGCUAGAAGUUGUUGCUGUAGAGUGUCCAGGUGGUCCUGAAUAGUCUGGAACAUCGAUAGCAUCCGCUCAGACAACUACUACUGAAUAGCUGCCUGCCUGGCCUGCUCUGCGGCCAAAUGAACCUGCUGCUGAGUGAGUGACUAGAGAAUGGCAGCUAGAGCGGGGUCAAUCGCUGGAGUUGCAGCACUGGAGCUACUAGCCUCGUGAUCACGGGAACGAGGUGGCAUAGGAGGUGGCGAUGGAAUCCCUAGAUCCUCAUCAUCAUCGGAAGAAGUAUGAGCAACCGCACCCUGAUCCUCAAACUGUCUGAUGGCCUCAUCCUCAACCCUGAUAUCUGAUGCUGGAGCUAGAGCUAAAGUUGUGACCUCAGGAGCUAGGCGAUAGAAGCCGAACUGCAGUCUAGAGACCUCGAGUGUGUCCUGGAACCGAGGAGGCCGAAUCAGUUGAGCAAAUAUGGGUCAGAGAUAGCGAGCGUAAGGCAGCUGACGCUGAGCCUGAAGACCAUCCAAAAUUGUGUCCUCAAUCUCAUAAAUCAGAAAAUCGACCACGUCAAACUCAGAGUGUGAGAUCAAGGCACCGAGUAGCCAAAGCUUGAUGAGUGGUGGAAUCUCUGUAUCCCAUCCUAGGUAGCAAGGUACGCCUCAUGAGCUCAUAUAGGAACUUUGUUGCUGGAGUGAAAUCUGCUAGAGAACGUCGCGACCCAUCUAUGAAUGGAGGUCGACACAGGGUGGCGACGUGAGCAGUGGUAGGGGCAACUUCGCCGUGAGGGCGACGAGGAGGAUCUGAUGUGCCUUAGCACAAGUUGUGGAGCCUUGUUGAUGACUUAGGAAAUCCAAACAGCUCUCAAAUCUGAGUAGAAUGAAAGGUCUCAUCCUCUCACUCAAACCUAAACCUCAUCCACUGAUUAUCUGGGUCUAUCCAUACUGUGGCAUAGAAGACUCUGACCCACUCCUCAAUAUAUCUACCGCUGAAGGUCAGAAGAGAGUGUAAACCUGGCAGAUAUGUGAUGUGACCCUCUGACACUACACCGGCUACUGAAAGUAAGGCAGGGAGAUCCAAAUGCUAGUGUGCUCUCAAGGCAAUCUGAGCAGACAAUUGUGCCCUAAAGAAGGACUCCUGGGUCCUGGUGCUGAGGAGUGGCGCAUCUGUUGGGUCCCUCUGAGCUGGCAAACAAGAAUCCAUAGGUACAUGUCUGAACCGACGUACCCGGGCAGCUAUGGCUCGCUGAAGAUCAAGCAGGCGAGUAUCAGCAGCAAGAGAUCACACCUCAGUCUCGUCACGCUCCUAGAAGCGAGAUGGAGGAAUAAGUGGAGUGGAAGUGGGAGCGGGAGCAGUGGAAGCUGGAGUGGUGGAGGUGGUGGAAGCAGCGGGAGUAGUGGACGACUUGAGAGUGACAGGAGCUCGCGAAGUGGGAGGUGGAGUGGAGACUGGGUCGGAAGGAGUGGAGCGAGCAGUGGAGGAGCGAGUCCGAGACUCGAGGCAACGGACUCGGAAGGCGAUCUAAUCAGAAGAAAUAUGUAACUGGCCUCCCUGCUCUGCCUGAUUUGUUGGUGCUGCUACUGCAAGCGUUGCACGAGCGGCUCUGUCCAGAUGCCUCUUCUUUCUGCCCUCUUGCUGCUCAAGGUAGACAGUCCUGCCCAUGACCUGUCUGAAGGGCGAGGAGGGUCUCCUCGUCAUCUCCUCCCCCUGAUGGUGUGAUAUUCUUCAUCCUCACCAUCCCGAUCUAACUGCUGCAAGAUAAGGAGAAAAGAUAAGCGAGAGUAGAGAGCAGUAGGUAAGGCCUGAAUAGAGUGUGAUAGCUACCUAGGAACUUCUCGAGAAAGAGGAACCAGGCAGGACAGGAGUCGCGUAGGCGAGUAGGUGAAAGCACUGAAAUGACAAAAGAGGUGAGCAUAUAUUAGUCACAUAGUCAUAGGUAUAUGAAAUAUGAAUAAAUACAUGCACAGAGAGUUAUGACACAAAAAUGGAGUGAUUUGGAGAAAUAGAGGUCAAACGGCGCGAGAACGGCGUUUGAACGGUGAAUUGGGCCAUAGAGGGUUUGAAAUUCGAAAUGAGGCAUGAAAUGACUUGGAAUUGAGUCGAUACUUCAAGGAUAGGUAUAUAAGUAUGAAAAUGAGUGAAGUGAGUGCUUGGUUUAAAGUUUGGCAGAGGAAAAACAUUUUUGGCACUCAGCUCGAAACAGAUCACUAUAAAGGUGAAGAGGUAGUGAAACAUGUGUCUAGAAUAUCGGAUAGGCAUGAAGUUUGGCGUGAGAGGUACUGGUUGUAGCUGGAGUGUGCUGGAAAAAGUUGGGGUCGAUUUGAGCUAUUUUGACUGGUUUGGGCAUUUCACUGAGCACUUGGUGCGCGGAGUUUUGAAUAGGUGGAGAAAUGCCCAUUUGAGGGUUGGAAACCUCCCAACGGGAGAGGAUAACCUGCAGGGAAGUUCUAGGAAUACAUGAGGACAUUCACUCACACAUGGAUUCAUGAAUUUCACAGAGAUUUGAAGAUUUUGCAAAAGGGUGGGAGUGAGAGAGGCAGAGAGCUUCACUGCAGAGAUCAGUCAGAGAGAGAGAGGAGAGGGGAUCUGCUCACCAGGGGAAGGGAGAAAUUAAGCCCGAGAGGGGGUAGCUCGACAGAGCUUGACGGCGGUGAUGGCCGACGGGAGAGCCCAGGGCGGCGCCAAGAGAGCCAGAGAAAGAGGAAGAGACCGCGCGGGGAAAUAAUGCCUGGGCUCGACCUCGAGCGGAGAAAGUUUUUUUAAAAACGCACCAUGGGCACAUCGGACAGUGUACAACGCCUAUCCGGUGAACCACCGGACAGGGCAGCAUAGUGGCAGAUCCACGCGCGCCCAGCCGAUGCACCGGACAUUGCACAAUGCAGUGUCCAGUGCACACCGGACUAUCUGGUGAGCCCAGACAGAGAGAAUUUUGAAUUUUCUAGGAAAUUUUGAACUAAACCAAAUCCUAACUUAUAAGCACACAAAAGAACACCUGUUGGGACAGGUAUUGGUACCCUCACAUAUUCUCUCAUAUUUUUCCAAAAUAUUGUGCCAUAGGCUAGAUAGUUUUUUAGAGAAAAUAGGGAAAUGGUAAGCUUUUGCCUUUGGGUAUUGCACUAGAGGUUUCAUGUAUGAAUUGAGUUAUGAAUACUCCCCCUAAGUGCAAUACCACAUGCAUAUCUCAAAAACCAAUAAUUGAAUUGUAAAUGAAAUUUAAGUACCAAAAUCUUAAAAGCUAGAACUUGUUAGGUUUGAGCCCGAGUUAAGCUUUUUCACUCGCUUUGUUGGCGGUUAUCUCAACUAGGUUAGACAAGCCCUUGAUGCAAUACAAGAAAUUUAAAUAUGCAAUGCAAGCUUGACAUCACCAUUUUAUGAUUUAAGAAAAAUUUCUGAGAUGAAGAAUAUUUAGCUCAUUCCUCAACAUACAAAAGCGGGUUUUGUCUAAAGGCUUUAUGAAAAUAUCCGCUAAUUGAUCUGCCGAUCUCACUCCUUCUAAGAUUAUAUCUCCUUUAACAACAUGAUCUCAAAGGAAGUGAUGAUGAUUAUCAAUGUGCUUGGUGCGAAAGUGUUGUACAAGAUUAUUAGCAAUUUUAACAACACUCUCAUUAUCCAACAACAAAGGUACCUUUUCUAGAACUACACCAUAGUCUAGAAGAGUUUGUUUCAUAUAAAGAAUUUGUGUGCAACAAGCACCCGUGGCAAUGUAUUCACUUCGGCGGUUGAUAAGGCAGCACUGUUUUGCUUUUUAAAGGUCCAUGAAACUAGUGAUCUCCCAAGCAAAUGGCAUCCUCCGAAUGUACUUUUCCUAUCAAUUUUGCAACCAGCGUAAUCAGAAUCGGAAUAGCCAAUUAAAUCAAAAGUAGCUCCUUUAGGAUACCAAAUACCAAUGCUUGGGGUGUGCUUAAGAUACCUAAGAAUUCUUUUAACAGCGCGAAAAUGAGCUUUCUUAGGAUUUGCUUGAAAUCGAGCACACAUAUAGACACUAAACAUGAUAUCAGGCCUAGAUGCAGUAAGAUACAAUAAACUACCAAUCAUAGAACGGUAGAGAGUUUGAUCAACCUGGUUACCUCCCUCAUCUAGGUCGAGAUGUUCAUUAGUAGGCAUGGGUGUCUUGAUUGGUUUGCACUUCUCCAUUUUGAAUCUCUUCAACAAGUAUUUGGUGUACUUCUCUGGUGAGAGGAAGUUCACAUCUUUCAUUUGCUUGACUUGGAAGCUGAGGAAGAAGGUUAGCUCACCAAUCAUUGACAUCUUGAACUCCUUCAACAUCAACUCACCAAAUUCCUUGCAAUGACAAUCAUUUGUCGAGCCAAAGAUUAUAUCAUCAACAUAAACUUGAUAAAUGAAAAUAUCACUGUUAUGAUUCUUUGUGAAUAGAGUGGUGUCGACGGUCCCGAUCUUGAAGCCCUUCUCAAUGAGGAAGUCGCAAAGACACUCAUACCAAGCCCUUGGAGCUUGCUUUAGACCAUAUAGCGUCUUGGACAACCUGUAAGCAUGAUUAGGAUAUCUAGGGUCUUCAAACCCAGGUGGUUGCACAACAUAUACUAGUUCAUUUAUGAAGCCAUUUAAAAAUGCACUUUUUACAUCUGUUUGGUAAAGUUUUAUGUCAUAGCAGGAUGCAUAUGCAAGAAGGAUAGGAUGGCUUCAAGUCGAGCAACCAGUGCAAAGGUCUCUCCAAAAUAUAAACCUUCAACUUGAGAGAACCCCUUUGCAACAAGCCUUGCCUUGUUCCACACAAUUACACUUUGAUCAUCUUGUUUGUUUCGGAACACCCACUUUGUUCCAAUGACUCUUGCAUCUUGUGGAGGCUUCUCCAGGGUCCAAACUUGAUUUUGGGUGAAGUUGUUUAAUUCUUCAUGCAUGGCAUUUAACCAGUCCGGAUCCUGUAGCGCCUCAUCUAUACAUGUAGGCUCAACAUAAGAAACAAAAGAUUGAUGCUCAAUAAACGAAGCAUAUAUCUGAGAACGAGUAAUAACCCCUUGUGAAGGACUCCCAAUGAUAAGAUCUUAUGGAUGUGCUUGUAGUAGUGAUGAGUUCCUCUUGUCAACUACUUGGGAAGAAGAUCUUGGAGCACCAACAUCUUCAGCUUGUACCCUUGCUUGUUCAUGAGAGACAAAUGUAUCUUCAUUUUCAUGCCUCUCAUAUUUUCAUCAUCAUGUGGUACAUUUGAUGAAGAAGGCAUGUCGAUAUUUUGCACUUCUUCAUCUUCUUUUGGUUUGAUGGCUCCAAUUGGCAUAUUCUUCAUGACUUCCCUAAGUGGUUCAUUACCUACAUCAUCAAGAUUUUCAAGGGCUCCUUGGGAGCCAUUAGUCUCAUCAAAUUCCACAUCAUAUGUUUCUUCCACCAUGCCAGUGGAAUGAUUAAAUACUCGAUAUGCUUUGGAUUUUGAUGAAUAACCAAGUAAGAAACCAAUGUCACAACGUCUUUGAAACUUCCCUAGGCGAUGGCAUUUCUUGUAGAUGUAGCAUUUGCAUCCAAACACCCAGAAGAAGGAGACAUCUGGCUUUUCCCAUUUAGCAGUUCAUAGGAAGUCUUCUCAAGUAGCUGGUGAGGAAAUAGUUUGUUUGAUGCAUAGCAUGCAGUGUUGACAGCUUCAGCCCAAAAUCUCUCCGGUGUGUUAUACUCAUCAAUCAUUGUCCUUGCAAGAGUGAUCAAAGUUCUGUUCUUUCUUUCGAUAACUCCAUUUUGUUGAGGUUUAUAUGUUGCAGAAACUUCAUGCUUGAUCCUAAUUUCAUCACAAUACUCAUGAAUAUUGGUGUUGUCAAAUUCCUUUCCAUUGUCACUCCUUAUUUUCUUGAUUUUGCAGUCAAAUUCAUUUUGAGCCUUCUUGGCAAAUUUCUUAAAUAUUGAUGCAACCUCAGACUUACCAUGAAAAAAGAACACCCAAGUAUAUCUUGAAAAAUCAUCAACAAUUACCAAACAAUAGAAAUUGCCACCGGCACUAGCAUAAGUUGUUGGUCCAAAUAGAACCAUAUGAAGUAACUCUAGUGGCCUUGAUGUUGACAUAAAAGCUUUUGUAGGAUGAGUGUUAGCAACUUGCUUUCCAGCCUGACAUGCACUACAAAGCUUGUCCUUUUCAAAUACAACAUCCUUCAAUCCUCCAACCAUGUCUUUCUUUAGAAUCUUCUUGAGUGUGCUCAUUCCAACAAGUGCAAGCCUUCUAUGCCAUAGCCAUCCAAGAGAUGUUUUGGUAAAGAGGCAAGUCCUUAGGUUUGCAUCUUCAGAAGAGAAAUCCACUAAGUAUAGGUUGUUGUAUCUAAAUCCUUCGAAUAUCACAGACUCAUCAUCCAUUUUAGACACAACGACCUCUGUAGGAGUGAAUAAGCACUGAAGGCCAAGAUCACAAAGUUGACCUACUGAUAGCAAGUUGAAGCUUAAUGGUGCAACCAAGAUAACAUUUGAAAUUGAAAGAUCAAUUGAAAUUGCCACCUUGCCAAGCCUUGAACUUUUCCUUUUGAAAUAUCCCCAAAAGUGAUUUUAUCUUGUUCAUCAACAUCUUCAUCUAGUGAGGUGAACAUCCGUGGGUUGCCAGUCAUAUGUUGAGUGCAUCCACUAUCAAUUACCCAAUGGCUCCCACCGGUCUUGUAGUUCACCUACAUGAACAAACAAAUCAAGCUUCAAUCUUGAGGCCCUAUUUUGCAUAGGACCAGUAACUUUCUCAAUCAAGGACUUUGCAACCCAAAUUUGUCUAGGUCUACUCUUGCUUGGUGGACCUAGAAAUAUUACUUUGACUUUUCCAUUUGCAACUUUUCUUAGUACAUAAUGAGCAUUGAAAGCAAAUGGUCUUGAGUGCUUUGGCAAGGGAGUUGGUGGUGUGGUUUCGCAAUUGUGGGCAAAAUGUCCUUUUCCACACUCAUAGCACUUGAUUGGCUCAGGAGUCUGUUUUGCCUUGUAUUGACUUGUUGCUUUCUUUUGCACAAAAGAAUUGUAUCCAAUACCACUCUUAUUAUUUUUCAUAACAGUGUUCAUGAGUAACUCAUUUUGAAGGUAUUGGCCUUUGUUGAACUUUUGUACACUUGUGGCAAGAUGUUCUUUCUCAAUCUUAAGUUUCUUGACUUCAUCUGUAAGCCUUACAUUGUCCACUGCCAACUCAUUAUUAAUAUCAUUGCUUUCUAUGGCAACUUUUCCUCUAGUGGUUGCAUCUAUCAAGUACUUCUUCAAUUUCUGGUUUUCUAGUGUCCUGACUUCAACUUUUUCAAUCAAUUCAUCAUGAUGAUCAACUUGGCUCAAAUCAUUACAUGAGGUUGCCACAUCAAUCUUAACAACAGGGUUAAUAGCCUCAUGUGUAUUACAAGAUAAAAGCUCAUUUGCAAUAAGAAGAUUAUCAUAUCAAUUUUAAUUUUGUAUAAUCUUCCUUUACUUUGACAAGUCUAUCUUUUAGCUCCCUAUUUGCUUCACUUAAUUUUUCACAUUUAUCUUUGGCAUCUUUAAGGGAGGUUUUGAGCUUAUUUUUGGUGGAUGACAUAGUUUUAUUUUCUUCCUUCAUUUCUUCACUAGCUUUAACAACUAUAUCAUACUUGGCAAUUAAGAACUCAUUUUCAUCCUUUAACUUGUCACAUUUAGCUUUUCACUUUCUAAUGAUUUGAGUAUAUUCUUUUAGUAAGUCAUCUAAUUCAUCAUAGGUAGGAGAAGCAUACUCGUCAUCACUAUCACUAUCACAAUCAUCAACAAUAUCAUUUUUAGGUUGUACCUUCCCUUCACCUUUAGCCAUGAGGCAUAGGUGUGAAGUGGAUGAAGGUGAUGGUGGUGGUGAAGAAAAAUCCCCAAUGAUGGCGACAACAUUUCAUCAUUUUCUUCUUCACUUGAAGAAGACCCACUUGAAGAUUCAAUAUCAGUGAGCUAGUCACCAACAAUAUAUGCUUUUCCAUUUUUCUUUUUAUGGAAUCUCUUGUGCUUGCCUUGCUAUUGAAGAAUUUCUUUUCCUUAUUCUCAUCAUCACUCUCAUCAUCUUUCUUGCCCUUGAACAUGUUCUUCUUGGGCUUGUUGCAUUGAUGAUCAAGUUCUCCACAAUUAUAGAAAUCCAUCUCGGAGAUGGGCUUUCUUUUGCUAGAGAAAAACUUCUUUCUUGAAUCAAACUUGAUACCUUCUCGAUUGAGUUUAUUCAACAUUUUUGUGGUCUUUCUCAUCAUCAAGGCAAUGUUUGCAUCAAGAUCAUCAUCACUUGAGGAUUCUUCCUCAACUUGCAUUUUGGCCUUCCCUUUCUUUUCUUGGCUAGCUUUGAGAGCCAAAUCUUUUCUCUUCGAAGAAGACCCAUCCAUGUCAUUUAUGUGCAUAUACAUUUCAUGAGCAUUGAUCUUUCCCAAUAUUUCAGUUGGUGUAGUAAUAGAAAGAUCCAUUUGAUGUAGCACAAUGACAAUGUGUCCAUAUUUGUCAAUUGGGAGGACACUGAGAAUUUUACUCACAACAUCUGGUUGUGAAAUUUGGGUGAGCCCCAAACCACUGACUUCCUCUACAAGAAUGUUAAGUCGUGAGUACAUAUCAUUAGCAUUCUCAUUUGCAAGCAUUUUAAAAGAAUUUAAUUUUUUCAUUGCAAUGUGAUAUCUUUCUUCACGCUCACUUUUAGUUCCUUCAUGUAGAGCACAAAUAUCCAACCACAAACCAUGAGCAUUUUUGUGAUUUCUUACUCUACUGAAAAUAUCUUUGCAAAGGCCCCUAAAGAGAGUGUUUUUGGCCUUAGCAUUCCAUUUUUCAUAAUUAUACUCAUCACCUACAAGAUUUGUGGGAUCUCUAGGUUCGGGGAACCCUUGAGAGGCGGCUUCACCAAUGUCAAUAGCCUCUAGAUAAGCUUCCAUACAAAUUUUCCAAUAAGGAAAAUCGUCACCAUCAAAAACAGGAGGAGGUCCUUCCCCACCAGACAUCGGUACUCUAGCGGUUAAGCUAAAUUAGGAGCAACUAGGCUCUCAUACCAAUCGAAAGGAUCACGAUGCCCAAGAGGGGGUGAAUUGGGCUUCUCUAAAAUUCCACAAAUGUUAAACCUAAGCAAGAGCCCAACUCCACCCAACUACUAGCAAUAAAUAAAUACUACUAGAAAAACAACAACCCUAAGUCAUUACUUCAAAUACUUACGAAACAAUUGAAUAAAGUGAAAUGCUCAAAGUAAAUGCAGAAUGUAAAGCAAGGGUAAGAAGACUCCUCCAAUUUUUUGUCGAGGUAUUGAAGAGUCGGCACUCUUCCCUAGUCCUUGUUGGAGCACCCGCGCAAGGGUAUCGCUCCCCCUUGGUCCUCGCAAGAACCAAGUGCUCUCUAUGAGAUGAUCCUUUGCCACUCCGACACGGUGGAUCACCCACGACCGCGUACAAACUUGAGCCGGGUCACCAACAAAUCCUCUAGGGUGAUCACCGUGCUCCAAUCGCCACCAAGUCGUCUAGGUGACGCCGAUCACCAAGAGUAACAAGCCAUAGACUUUCACUUGACCAAGAGAAGCCUAGUGUGUGCUCUAGGUGGCUCUCACGUGCACUGAUGAGGUCCUAACACGGGAUUAUGAUUUUCUAAUCACCUCACUAGGCUUUGUAACAAUGAAUGGACUUGAAUGUGGGCAGCAAGACUCUAAAUGUGGCUGGUGGAGGGGAUAUAAAUGGCCCCAACCACCGAACUAGUCGUUGUUGUAGCUCUCUACGCAUGGGCGCACCGGACAGUCCGGUGCGACACCGGUGCGCCAAUGGUCCACUCCAACGGCUAGUUCUAACAGUUAGUCGUUGGACUGACAGUGCACCGUACAGUCUGGUGUGACCGCUAAAAUUCAUCUUCGCAAACUCGUUGCUCUUGGGUUUCUCGAGGGCAGAGGCGCUGCCCCCAGGGCUAGCUGGUCCUACUUUCAAAGGGUGCACCGAACAGUCCGGUGCCCCUAAGAUAGCAAAACCAAAUUCUAUUCCUUAUGUUUUUCUAAACUGUUUUUGUUCUAACUUGUGAGUGCGUUAUAGAGUGACACCUAGCACUAGAUGUGAGUGUGAAUAUGCACCAACACUACACUAGAAAUCUCUUGGUCAAACUACUCAUCCACAACCCCUCUUUAUAGUACGACUAAAAUAAAAAUAGAAGACCUAAUUCUAUACCAAGUGUUCGCAACUCCUUCGACACUCAGAAUAUGACGACAUUCAUCUUUUGAUUCGCCUUUUUCAGCCGUCACUUCAAUUUCUCAUUUGAGGGAUUGUUUUCACUGUUGCAACGCAACAUCCUGUAAUGCGACCUAACUUACCGUUUGCUCUGCAAAACACACGUUAGUCACAUAUAAUAUUAUGAUGUCAUUAAUCACUAAAACCAACCAGGGGCCUAGAUGCUUUCAUGUGUGUCGACUAUAGAAGUUUGAAUGAAGAGACAAUCAAGAACAAAUAUCCCUUGCCUCGGAUUGAAGUUUUGUUUGAUCAGAUGAGAGGAGCUAAGGUAUUCUCAAAAAUAGAUCUAAGAUCAGGGUAUGAUCAGUUGAAAAUUCGGACUGAAGACGUACCUAAGACAGCCUUUACUACAAGAUAUGAAUUAUAUGAGUUUUUGGUUAUGUCAUUUGGAUUAACCAAUGCACCGACUUACUUUAUGAACUUGAUGAAUAAAGUAUUCAUGGAAUAUGUUGACCAGUUUGUGGUUGUGUUCAUCGAUGACAUACUAGUAUACUCUUAGAAUGAAGAAACACAUGAAGGUCAUCUGAGACUAGUUCUGCAAAAGCUUCGUGGCAACCAACUAUAUGCAAAAUUUUCAAUGUGUGAUUUUUGGCUUAAGAAAGUCGCUUUCCUAGGUCAUAUUGUCAUAGAUGGAGGAAUCAAGGUAGACCCUGGUAAAAUAAGUGAAAUACUAAAUUGGAAUCAACCAACAGAUGUGUCCAAGAUCAGGAGUUUUCUUGGGUUAGCAGGAUAUUAUAGAAGAUUUAUUGAAGGCUUCUCCAAAAUAGUGAAACCCCUUACUUCACUGUUGGAGAAAGGUAAAGAGUUUAAGUGGGAUGAAGCAUGUCAAAAAUGUUUUGACGAAUUAAAGGAAAAGCUAACCACUGCACCAGUGUUGAUAAUGCCUGAUAUUCACAAAGGAUUUGACGUGUAUUGCGACGCAUCACAUCUAGGACUUGGAUGUGUAUUAAUGCAAGAAGAAAAAGUAAUAGCUUUGCCUCAAGGUAGUUGCAGAAGCAUGAAAAGAAUUAUCCUAUGCAUGAUCUGGAAUUAGCUGCCGUAGUGCACACUUUGAAGAUUUGGAGACACUACAUGAUUGGAAAUAAGUGCAAAAUGUUUACGGAUCACAAAAGCUUGAAAUACAUAUUCACGCGGAAAGAACUCAACCUAAGACAAUGAAGAUGGCUUGAGUUAAUCAAGGAUUAUGAUCUAGAUAUACAGUAUCACCCAGGAAAAGCAAAUGUAGUGGCAGAUGCUUUGAGUCAUAAAGGUCAAGUUAACAAUAUUACUACCUACUUGAUGCCACAAGAAUUAUGUUGGGAAAUGGAACAACUUAACCUUGGUAUGCUUAAUAAUAUGGAAGCAACAGUUAUGGAAGUGGAAUCUACUCUAGAACAGGAGAUUCACAAAGUACAGGAAUCCGAUGAGAAAAUCAAGGAAAUUAAGACUUAGAUUAGUUUGGGUAAAGUCUCAGAUUUCACCGAAGAUGAACAAGGCAUAGUAUGGUUUAAACAGAGAAUCUGUGUACCAGAAAUUGAGCACCUACGCCAACUUAUUUUAAGAGAAGCUCGUGAUUUGGCUUAUUCUAUUCACCCUAGAAGUACUAAGGUGUACCAGGAUCUGAAGGAAAAGUAUCGGUGGUACUGUUUGAAAAGAGAUGUAGCUACUUAUGUUGCAUUAUGUGACGUAUGUCAACGAGUUAAGGUAGAACAUCAAAGACCAGUAGGUUUGCGACAACCUCUUAAAGUACCUAAAUGGAAAUGGGAAGAAAUUUGUCACACUCGGUUUUAGAAGGAAAACUGAAUGCGAACCAUGUAUGUGCCAGGAUCAGAAACUCACGUACACAACGAUUAUAUAGUUGGACAUCAUCACACAUCAGACCUGACCCUGCAGUCUUUCAGCAUAAGAAAAGAUAUAUAGAAGUCCUCAUAACACUGAGCAAAUGAGUCUCUUCACUGACUCUCAACACAGCCAAACACAACUUCUCAGAUAAAGAGGAAAGUGGAAAUAAAAGGUUGCCCAACUAUGACUAACUUUAUUAAUAACUACACCAAUUUGCAGGGGACACCCACACUUUGGUGACAAUAAUUACAAAAAGACAAAUCCAUCAUAGGUUCAUCAUGACAAACAUCGAAACAUGUGAUAAGCAAACUAACACUAAGACUGACUAAGAGACACUGACUUAAACAUUAUUACAAACCCUGAGUCUAUCGAUCUAUGGCUCCAAGUCUAUCUUGGUCUUGUAGUCAGGGGUGCCAUAAGCAUGAUGACCACGGGGCGGCGAGCGGUAAGGGUGCUGAGUCCCAACACGGGCGAGGAACCAUCCUCCUGAUGGUGGCGCUCCGCGCGCUCAGCACGCAGUUCUGCAAUCUCCGCUCGAGCCUUGCCCAACUUGUCAAGGGCGUGGUCCAGCUCGGUGUUGAGCACAGCGACCAGGUUGACCAUGCUGCUCAAUCUGGGACUGCCCUCACCAAUGGGUGAGACAAUCACACCUCUGGUACUGCCGGUCGAACGACGACAGUAGUACUUCAGGUCGAGGCUGUCAGCUACCCCGCUGAACAAUGAACAGUAUUGGGAAAGCACACGCCGUGCAGCAUACUGCAUGGCUGCCUCGGCAGUGUCCCGCUCAGUGAUAGAUUAAUGUUCUGAGAAGGCCUCCGCACCCCAGAGAUCAUCGUUCAGACGGCGCACAAAGCAAGUAGCCUCCCACUGGUCCGGGUAUAACCCACGACGAUGCUGGUAGACCACAUAAUGGUACUCGAUGGACCAAGUGUGACGGUCGAAGGCCUGACGCAGCAAGGUGUCGAGAGCGUCGUGGAAAUGGCAACCGCGAGCGGCGUCAUGAUUGAUGGGUCGGGCGAUCCAUCCUUUUGGCUCCGGCUCCUCCGAAAGCUCUGUGUUGUGGCUCGAACUGCCACCGUCGUCGUCGUCUCCGUCAGGGUCAACUCCAGCAGGUGGGGUGCCCUAUGGUGGUGCAGGGGCACCUCUAGCUGAGGCGCAGGGGAGGGCUACCUCCUAGACUCCACCUCCUGUUGAGGCGAGGGGGAAGAGUCAUGCCACUCCUGCUCCUGGCGCCGGCGCUCCUGCUCCUCAUGUAGGCGGUGAUGCAGCCUCUCUAGGUGGCUCGAUUGUCCUAUCACCGUGCGGCGCGGUGGGCGCUCUGCAAGGCGAGAUGGCAAGAAAGGGAUCAUCGACUUACGUGCAGUGCAUCUAAGACGAGCCAUUUACAAAAGACAUCGUAAGCAUAGGAGUGGGAAUAGAACUAUAUGACCAACAAGUAAACCAAAAUCAAAGUGAGAUAAAAUUUUUGUAAGAUGGGUAUGUAGAUAGAAGUAUAACAUAGAAUUGGUCAAGGUGACCAACUUUUGAAGUGACAACAAAGGCCAAUGUGAGAAUAAGGGUCUAUAGUCCUUAAGGCGACCAUUCUAGUUUAACUUAGCGGUCCUACAGUCAGCAAGGCUUAGAUACCACUUAUGUCACACCCGGUUUUAGAAGGCAAACCGAAUGUGAACCAUGUACGUGUCAGGAUCAGAAACUGACGUACACAUCGAUUACAUAGUUGGACAUCAUCACACAUUGCUCAAAAUAAUAGCGGAAAUAGUACUUUAUCACAUCAAGAUGUCCAAGACAUCCACAGAGUCAUUAACCGAACAUAGUCAUAAACGUAAUCAAAGUGCGCAAUACAAAACGUAGAGAUAAGGCCUUCAUAGGCAGCUGCUUGGGAGUUUGACACUAACACGACUAGAACUCAUCAUAGUCCCGAAACUCCUCAAAGUCCUCCAUGUUGUCUACAUCUCCUCCUGAGCCUGGUUGCAAUGGGAACAACCUGGGGUUGGGGGUUUAAAGCAAGGGUGAGUACACAUCAACGUACUCAGCAAAUGUCCCGUUUGGCUAAAGUGGACUAGAUGUAUGUGGAGUAGGGUUAAAGCAGUUGCUUUUAUUUGGUCAGAUAUUUAUUACUAGUAGUAAGCCAAGUUUUAGUAAUAAACUCAAUUAUUACCCAAAAGUACUCCCUCCAAGAGGAAAUACCAGAGAUAGAAUUAUUAUCAUCAUCAGUUACCAUCAUCAUAAGAGUAUCCAAAGUUCUUAUCAAAGAGGAUCCCAAGGCUGCUCUUAACUGUGAGCACGACUGAUAUACCGGUUUCUAACACUCUGUAGAGGUUGCACACUUUACCCAUGAGUCGUGAUCCCUUUCCAGUCUGGGUUGUACAGACCCUAUCUUCACUACCAAGGUGAAUGGCCAGGGAUACACUAUGUAGCCUUUACAAAGACUCCCCUGGUGCAUAGCUGCUCAUUAGGUUUCGCCAGUCAUACAAACACAGUACUCCUCCGUAAGGAGGGUGACAAACAAAACCAAAUCGAAUGAACCUUGGCACCCACCCUUAGCAAAGCGAGCACUAUGCCCCGACCCCCAUUGACGGCCCUCCGGCAAAGCCAACUACACCCCAAGUUCAUCUAAUUAAUCAGCUAAGGGCAUCCCAUUCCACCCUCAUGGUUGUAUUGUUAUCUCAGGUGGUCACUCAACGAACAGGUCCAUAUGGAGAGGUACUCAGAAAAACAGCAUGAGUCCCUUAAAGUGCCAUAAGAACAUCAUCAUAAUCAUAAUUGUUGGGGGCCUUCGGCUUCCGAAGGUCCUCAAAAAAUGUGAUUUAACAAUGUUUUCUAAGUAUACGAGGAGGUAUCUUCGGAAUCAGGAAUCAGGUCGCGGGUAUACAGAAGCAUGGUCAAGACGAAGCUUGACUGGGACGGCGACCAUGACGAAGGAUAAGAUGAUCAUGAAGCUAUAUGCAGAAGAGCUUCGGCAUCACGGCGGGAAGGGGAAACCGACUUAAAGAUGAAAAGCCAAACUAGACCUCGAAGAAUUACUAUAGGGUUAUUGAUAAAUGUAAAGGGCAUUAUUGUAAUUUUCCAUGGGCUGCGACCCGUGCCUAUAAAUAGGUGAACAGUAUCCCUGUACUGUUCACGCUGACUUGGCAUUCACUUUUGUGUCACGUCUGUAUUCUCUUCCUUCAAGCCGAAGGUACAUUUGUAACUUAUCUUUGUUCAAACAAGUAAUAAAAAUAGAAAUAGAUUAAUAAUAAUAUUUAUAGAAAUUGUGUCACUUUCUAUAUUUGAAUGUUCUACAUUUCUUAUCAUGAUCAUGAAGGUAUGUCCUUCAUGACCUUCGUCCUAAAUUCGUUAUGUCCGAAGGGAAAUAAUGAUUUGAAGGACGAAGGGCCUUUAAUAUUUAACAUUUUGUGUUGCAUUGUUCUUGAUUCAUAGCAUUUGAGAACAAGUCCCCAACAUUGGCGCCCACCUCCGGUGAACUCACUUCCAUUUUUUGAGUCUUGAACACUUUCGGCAAGCAUCACCUUCGUCAUGCCGCCGAAAAAAGCUUCAGCGACAGGGGCUGGUACUUUACAGCCGCUGGAUCCCAAUCAGGACGUCCUUUCUCUCAGAGAGGCCCGAAGCCAGAAGAGGAAGGCUGUUAGUCCAACACCUCCGGAGGAUGACCUGGAUCAGGAGAUCCAAAACCUGGAGAUCCUUCAGCAACAGGUGCAGCGCAAGAAGGAGAAGAUGGCUCGUCUAGCUGAUCUUCAGAGACAGAUAGACGAAGCUUCUGAAGAGGUUCGUCAUCUUGUUCAAGAUGAUCAGAGCCGAAGGCCUCCACGCAGAGAGCUACAUCAGGAAGGCUUCCACAAUGAGGACGACUGGUAUGAAGAUUUCCAUCAUGGAAACUUUGCUUUUGAUGAUGCUUCUCCUCUCUCAACAGAAUUGCAGGCUACACCAUGGCCCCAGUCUUACAAGCCACCCCAGCUUCCCAUGUAUGACGGUCAUACAGACCCGAAGCAAUUCCGGAUGAGCUAUGAAGCAACCAUAUCUUCGUAUGGUGGCAAUAUGGCAGUCAUGGCAAAAUCUUUUGUCUUGGCCGUCAAGAGUGUUGCUCAGACCUGGUACUCUUCUCUUCGGCCAGGGACAAUCACUUCUUGGCAGAAGUUGAAGGAUAUGCUGAUAACUAGCUUCCAAGGGUUUCAGACGAAGCCAGUCACUGCUCAAGCUUUAUUUCAGUGUACCCAGGACCACGAAGAGUACCUCCAAGCGUACGUCUGAAGGUUUCUACGUCUGAGGGCACAGGCGCCAACAGUGCCCAAUGAAAUUGUCAUUGAGGCCAUGAUUAAGGGGCUUCGGCCGGGACCUUCAGCGCAGUACUUUGCCAGGAAGCCACCACAAACGUUGGAGAAGCUGCUCCAAAAGAUGGACGAAUACAUUCGAGCUGACAAUGACUUCCGCCAAAGAAGGGAGGAAGCAUUCAGGUUCUCUAAAAUGACUAGGGGCUUCAGAGGAAGAUUUCACCCGAGGCACGUUAGGUCAAUUCAUAACUCUACUCAAAUUGAUGAUCGAGGGAGUCAGCAGCAAAGGCCACAAUACUCUUCACAAGCUUCGAGCCAGCAGCAAAGUUCUUUUCAGCCGCCAGCGCCAAGAGGCAGAGGCGCUAGGGGCUUCGGGGGAAGGUUUGGAGAUCAGCCAAGAAAAAUUUAUUGCAUAUUCUGUGGUGAAGAUAAGGGCCAUACCACCAGGAUGUGUCAUGUUACCAUCCAGAAGCAGAAGGAGAUAGCAGAAGCAGCUGCGCAACAAAGUCAGCCGAAGCAGUUCAUGCAUACUGCUUCGUAUCAUUCGCCUUAUAUUCCAGAAUAUGUAGGCAACCACCCCGCAGUUUCUGUCGCUUCGGCAAGCCAACCCCAAGCAUCUUGGCAGCAUCCUCCACCACCGCCGCCGACGCAGCGAUGACAGCAGCCGGAAGGGAGUCAGCACAAUCACCUUCAGAGGGAUUUCAGAGAGGAAUCCGAAGCUCGCACAGUCAACAGCACUGUGCCAGAGUCGAAGCACAUUUAUUGAUGAAUAUCCUACUUCAACAGCAGUUCUUUCGCAUUCUUAUAUUCAGUAUUACCUUUUUGUUAGUAAGGAACAAUUAUGAGGAGUUUAAGUCUCUUUUAUCGUUUUUCGAUUUCUUGUAACACUUUCGCCUAUCACCAUAAUAAAAAUAUGUCUUUUCCAUAGGCUUAUUUGCCGAAGCAUACAAAUUUAUGGUGGCAUGAAGGACAUUUAUAUUAUCAAACAUUUGUCCUAACGGACAAAGUACAAAUUCCUCGAAAUAGUAAAAAGUCGCUCCUAAGGGAGCGCAGAGUAAGUUUUCUGAAACUACAGCGAAAAAUAAGCGCUGAUUCCGCCGAAAGUAAAAGGCGAAGAAGCUCCUAAGGGAGGCUUACAGCGAAAAAUAAACGUUGAUUCCGCUGAAAGUAAAAGGCGAAGAAGCUCCUAAGGGAGGCUUACAGCGAAAAGUCAGCGCUGAGAUAAAAAGUGUGUGUGCUCUAUUACAGGGAUAUGUAUCUGCGGCAAAAAUAUCAUUUUGCAUAACAUAACAUCAUCACAUCAUUUUGCAUAACAUAAGCAUCAUACAGCAUAUUGCAUGUGGAACAAGAAGGGGAUACAGUGUUGGUCUUCGGAGAAUAUUUUGGAAAAGAGAAAAUCGUGCUAAGGCACAAGACAAAUCGAGAUGAAGUGUAGCCUCAUUGGAGAUGUCACACAAAACUUUUUUAUAGCUUCGGAGAAUAUUUCACGAAGCUUGGUCAUUUUCUUCAUGAAGCAUGAAAAGAAGGGAAGGUGUUUUUUUCGCCGAAGGCUCAAAAAAUGGUAUGUAUGCAAAAUUUCAUGCAUCGUAAAGAAUUAAACUAUAGAUUAUAUAUUAUAUUCAAGGUUACAAUAUAUUACACAUGUUACGUUCUAAAUGUUUCUACAGUAAUAUUCAAUCCUCCUUAAGCACUAUUUAUGCAGCUUCAUUCAAUAGCUGGUCGACAACCUUGUCCAUAAUGGCUUCGGCCAUUUUUCUAAUUUCAUCGUCCCCCUUCGGGUGGGGGCCCGGAGAUGCCUCAGCAGGUUCUGAGGGAAGAGAAGAUACGACUAUAUUACUAUUACAAACCGCGAACAAAGUCUGGAAUUAAAAAUUACAACAUAAUAAAAACCACUAAUUAAUACCUAUUUGCCCUUCGGGCUCUGUGCUUUUCUCCGCAGCUUCUGCUACUUUUCUGGCAUCGUGGAUGCCAUUUUCACUCUUUUGAAUAAUUUCUUGCGUCAUUUCUCGGCCGCCGUUGUCCCAGAUAUCAGUGAAGAAUUUCCCGCCGACCAUGCUUGCUUCGGGUGAGGGGUCUUUAAUGUCUUCAGAAGACAAGGUAGCUUCGGACUGCGCCAAGGAUCUUACAUGCUCGCAACCUUUCUUCUCCAAAACAGCAGCAAUCCCUCUAGCACCCGAAAAAGCGCAGAUGUCACCGCGGCUAUUCAGGAUUUCCUCGAAGGCCUCUGCUUCGUGGCUGAUCCAUUCCAUUGGACCUUCAGGAUUGCCUCUUGAGAAAUUCUCUUCACUAGAGAAUGCGCCAACGCUGGCGAAGCUGGAUUUUAUCUUCUUGACGCACUCUAUGGAUUUAACAUAGCAUUUUCUCUGGGAUGCACGAAGCUCCUUAACACUUAUCUCUAAAUGAUUGGCCAAUUGAUCACUAAGCUCCCGUUUUGUUUCUUCAAGUAUACGUUCUUCUUUAGCUCUAGCUAGCUGUUUCUGAAGAUCUUUUAUUUCACGUUUUUGGGCUUCGGCCUGGGCCUUUGAGGCAGCUUCGUCCUUUUUUACCUUGUCUACCAAUGUAAGCAGAAUUUUAUCCUUUUCCGGAGCUUCGUUUCUUAGUUUAAUAACUUCUGAUCGAAGGUUGUUGAACGCAAUUUCAUAGCUCUCGUCUUCGGCAUUCUUUUGUGCUCUCAAUGCGUUGCUUAGAAUUAAAACCUAUAUGUAAAAAGAGUUGGUAUAAGAAUAAAAGAAUGAGUCACGAAUUAUAAAAUUUCCAAACGCCCAAUUCCCAUACCUUCAGGCUAUUGUACACAAGACUAUCCGCGAGAUCCUCCUUCAUCAUAGCACAUAAUCCAGCUUCGAGCUUCGGAAACCCCAUACUUCUAGCCAUCUCCCGACAGACGGAUAAUUCUUUGUUGUCUGGGAGGCAGUAUAGGAAAUCUUCUUCGUUCGUCCCAUUGAACACUAGUGCCCCCUUCGGAUAUUUCAAUUCUUUGGCAUAGUGAUUAGCUUCAAAGACUUCUUCUUCCGAUAACUUUUUCCCCGAAGCAUGUCGCACGAUAUAAUCGUAUAUUUUGGAAGAUGCUUCGGGGGCAGCGGUAUCAAUUUCUUCGACCAAAGUUGGCUCUGACAUUUUCAUUUCUUCGGUUGCCUUUUUAAUUUUUGCUUCUUCUGCUUCCAAAGGUAUUACCUUGGUUGGUUCUGAAGGCCCGGUUUCAACUCCAGUCUGUUGCUUCGGAGCUUUAGCAACGGAUACUUCAGCAGGCGCCUCAGAAGUUUCAGCAGUCUUCUUUGGGGUUGUGCUUGGAAGUUUAAUUGUUUCCAAAACAUCCAACACAUUAACCAUUCUUUUUCUUUUUGGGGUCACUGUUGGCCCCUUUUUAAUUUUUGCUGCUUCAACUUCUUUCGAAGGACUUAAAAUUUCUGAUAUUUUCACUCCCUCAGCUGAUGCUUUCGCUUCUUCCGUCUUUGGUUCUUCCAUCUUUUCUGUCGCUGGCACUUCGGCCAUUUCUGUGACUUCUGGCAACAGGGUUGGCUCUGUAGCCUCGGUGGCCGAAGAGGUCUCACCGGUGAACUCAGGCACCGUGGCUGGUUCAAUAUAGCGUGGCCGGUGUGUAAGAACUUUUAUCCUUUUUCUCUUCGGCGCUGGCUCACUAGAAAUAGCUGCAGUUGUUUCUUUCGCAGAAGUUGUGCCUUUUCUUUUUUGCCCCCGUAUUGGAUAGCGAUAGUCGGGGUAGACAAACCCGACUGCAUCAAACACUCGGUUGAGUCUUUUCUUUUUUCGGCCUCCGAAGGCCGCUGACAAUGCAGUGUCCUCGGCCUUCGAAUAUACCCCAAGCAAUUCAUCACUUACAGUCUCAAUACUCUUUAACCAAUCAUCAUCUGGUUCAACGAACUUGUCUCCGUACUUGAAUGUAUACUUCAGCCGGACUAGCCCACCUUCGUCAGUUUCUUUAACAGUUUCUUUCGGCAUUUCCCAAUUAUCUGCAAGAGGCCACACUCUGAAGGCAAUGUGUUCUUGAGUUAAAUCCCUUGUCCCAAUAAAAGAGCAAACAACUCCGAAGGCUCUCUAGCAUUCUUCGGCUGCUUCAUUCAUUUCCACCGUCGGCCUUCGCAGGCCGAAGCGUUGCCAGAUGGGAUGCACAAUGAUCUUCUUUAUAUCCUCUCGAGAUUUCAAGUCAUUUUUCACGUAAAACCAUUCCAUCAUCUAGUCGCCAGGCCAUCUCUUUCGAAAGGUCGGCACUGGGUAGCUUGACCCAGACCGAGAGCCGAAGCUGUAGCAGCCAAAGUUGUUGUGAUAUUGUUCCUUACCCCAGGGUUUUGUCCCGUAUAACAAUUCGUGCAUGUUGCAGAAGCUUUUUGCAUCAGGUUCCAAGCCUUGGCUCCUCACAGCCCACACGAAGAUAUUCAUCCUUAUGAUUGCUUCGGGGGUAAGUUGGUGAAGAUGGAUUUCAAAUAUCUUCAGCACCUCCACAACAAAACGGCUCAGGGGAAAUCGUAGUCCAGCUUUCAAGAAGCUUCGAAAUACUACGACUUCAUUUUCCUCAGGAGUUGGGCAAGUCUUCUCUCCUUCGUCGGCCCUUACAACAGACAAAUCCCGGAAAUAUCUUCCCCUCAUGUUGACAAGAUGAUUUUCUUUAAUACUUGAUUUGCCGAAAACCGCAUGGCUUGGCCGCCAAGGUCGAUCUUCGGAGUCUUCACCACCACUAUCCGCAUCAUAACUGUCGCUAUCACCAGUAUCUUAAGAUAAACCUUCCAAUAUUUCUUUAGUGAUCUUUUCUGUAUUAGUCUUCGACAUAGAUCGAAGAAAACCCAGAUGCAUCUCUUCAGAAAGACUCAGCUUCAUUUCGGCAGCAACCUUCUUCUCCUCAGACAUCCUUUCGGAAUUUUUGCCUCUCGCUUCCGAAGCUUAAAACUAGGGAGGCAACCAAAUAUUUGUGGGCAGAAAACUAUUUGAGCAGGCAAAACAGAUGGCAAGAGAGCGUGCUAAAUAAUUUGUGGCGAGCCCCUAUUUAUACACCCAUUAUGUCGAAAACUGGAGGGUCCCGCUUGUCAAAGACUGUUGCUAUUCUAGCAAAGGGAAGGUGUUUUUUCGGACCUUCGGCUCAAAGCAUUCGUCCAUGCCGCAAUAUAAAUUUAUCAUUCCAGCAAAUUAAUAUUGCGAGGGGCUACUGUUGGAGGCCUUCGGCUUCCGAAGGUCCUCAAAAAACGUGAUUUAACAAUGUUUUCUAAGUAUACGAGGAGGUAUCUUCGGAAUCAGGAAUCAGGUCGCGGGUAUACAGAAGCAUGGUCAAGACAAAGCUUGACUGGGACGGCGACCAUGACGAAGGAUAAGAUGAUCACGAAGCUAUAUGCAGAAGAGCUUCGGCAUCACGGCGGGAAGGGGAAACCGACUUAAAGAUGAAAAGCCAAACUAGACCUCGAAGAAUUACUAUAGGGUUAUUGAUAAAUGUAAAGGGCAUUAUUGUAAUUUUCCAUGGGCUGCGACCCGUGCCUAUAAAUAGGUGAACAUUAUCCCUGUACUGUUCACGCUGACUUGGCAUUCACUUUUGUGUCACGUCUGUAUUCUCUUCCUUCAAGCCGAAGGUACAUUUGUAACUUAUCUUUGUUCAAACAAGUAAUAAAAAUAGAAAUAGAUUAAUAAUAAUAUUUAUAGAAAUUGUGUCACUUUCUAUAUUUGAAUGUUCUACAUUUCUUAUCAUGAUCAUGAAGGUAUGUCCUUCAUGACCUUCGUCCUAAAUUCGUUAUGUCCGAAGGGAAAUAAUGAUUUGAAGGACGAAGGGCCUUUAAUAUUUAACAUUUUGUGUUGCCUUGUUCUUGAUUCAUAGCAUUUGAGAACAAGUCCCCAACAAUAAUAACACCAUCGUAUCAUAAAUAUUCUCAUCAUGUUUGUUGAUUAAAGUAAAGCAAUAGCUGAAGCUUACCAUAAUAACCCAAAAGGUAAUCAAGGACAAGGUAAAUAUAGACUAGUCCAUCCUUAAGUUUCAAUUAAGUAAUGAGGGACAAUGAUUAUAAAGUAAGUAGGACAUAAUGGGUAAGAGGACACUUGCCUUCACCAGGUUGCUGCUCAGGGAAGUCUUCGGCAACACACUCAGGAACCACGGACUGCUCGUUGUCUACGCAAAGCGAUCAUGCAUUCAACACAUUUGGAUAAUGACAAAGAAACAAUACACCAAACAUGUACAAUCAAGUGAACACAAGCUCGAAAGAACAGUAAAAACACAAGAGGGAAAUCUAGGUUAUAGGGUGGGCAAUUACACCUAGAGGUUUGUGGUUCUCUAAGUACUGCUUAUCUCAAUAGAUUACAUAACUUAACUUCAUUUAUCUUAAUGAGUCACCAAAAAUUAUACCAGGGAUGGGUCAUACUUUACAUGGUAUUACUUUCACAAGGCUGAUUACCUAAUUACCAUUACGGGGCGUUUGGAUCCCUUCAUUUUAGAGGAAUUGGAAUUUACUCAAUAAAGUAACUUUCACAAGGUUGACAUUCCACCACUUUCCAAAGUUUAGAUAUAAGCAUAUAUCAAAUUCAUGGGGUGGAGAGUGGGAAAUGAUUUUAUGCAUUAGUAGAAUUUGUUUCUACUCUGUAACUUACAUGACACUCUUCAUCUCACUCCUCUAUAAUAAAAAUGUAGCACAUAAAUAUUUCUGACAUCUUGCUAAUAAUAGUAUACAAAUAUAUUUUGUAUGAAACUGAAUUAGCUUAAUUGAUAUAUGUAUAAAUUACUAUUAUUAGAACGGAAUUCAAUUCCAGUGAUCUAAACGGGGCAUUAUGGUUUUCCUUUUAAUAAAUAAACCAUCACUUAAACUAACCUAUAGUCUAGACAUAAAAUUAAUGCAUGCAGACAUUGAAAGACUGUAAUUUGAACAGAUGGAGAAUAAUCUUAUGAACGUUUUGCAAUUUGAAUCACUCAAUUUGGAGUUCAUAUGUAAGAGAUAUGAAAUAAACAAGUUUUAGAAUUCAAAAUAUAAAAUUAGGUCCAGUUCUGCGAUAAAAUAAAAGGUUAGGGGCUUUUCUGCAAAAACUCAGGGGUCUGCGCGCAGAACGUAGGGAUGGCGGGUUGAUAUGCAGAAAGCUAGGGGGUUAACAAGUUUUCCAAACAAACUGGUAUUGGCUGAUCUCGAUCACACGAUCGCAGAUCAACGGUUAGGAUUAGAUCUAAGCGAGAGCGCGCGUGGGCGAGCACUGACAAGCGGCCUAGGGGUGUCAGUGACUAGGGAGGGAGGUGGGAUGACCAGCCGGGCCUAGCGCCAGGGGGCACAGGCACUGACGGGUACGGCCCAGGGGCAGAGCGCGAACGCGGACCAAUAACCGCAAAUCCGGACCGUUAGAUCUAGGACGAACGGUUGCAAUGGGGCGCACGAGGAUUUUACAGCUCGGUGACCGGUGUUGCUCCCUCCACGGCGGCAACGUCGCCGAAGGUGAGGCAGACGCGGUCGCCGGGGGUCUGGGGUUGCCAGUGAGGGCUGGAACGGGUGAAGAAGGUCCCAUGAACUCACUAGAAGGGCUCCGGCCGCGAAAAUGGGACCAGAGACGGGAGAACGGCGGAGCAGAGGUGCUCCGGGCGGGUCGGGCAACUCCAGCGAGGAAUCCCGCCCGCGGGGAGGGGGAUUCGGGCGCGCUAAGUCCUAGCCUAGGUCCGGCGAGGUAAGGGAAACACUAUGGACCAAAACAGGGGCUCGGAACGGGGUUGAAUCAACCAGUCACCACGCAGGCGGGGUCAAAUUGGCUAAGACAAAACGGAAUUGAGAGAACCUUGCGUGGGAACGAGUUCCUCACCUCAGGAUGGUGCUCGGGACGGCUUGGCGCGGCUUAUGGCGGGCUGGACGGUCGGCAACGUGGCCACAGAUCUCCAGCGAGCACGGGUAGGGACCGCAGAGCGCGAGAGAGGGUGAGAGUGGUCGACAUGAGGCAGGGGAGAGAGAGCGGGUGCGGGUGGGGCUCAAAAAGAGCUAGGGCGCGUGGGCGAGCAACGUGGACGGUCUCCACGGCGGGUGCGUGGACGUGGGUCAACGGCGGUUGCGGGGAAGACAAGGCUCACGGCGCAGCGAGAGAGAGCGAGCGCGCGGGCGAACGGUUCACGGUGCUAACAAGGCGGGCCCACAACGCGGAGAGAGAAUAGGGGGCGCGUGGGGGAAGGUUGGAGCUGACAAGUCGGCCCCACUGGGCAGAGGGAGAGAGGGAGCGAGAGUGUGCGGGUGCGGGCUGUCGCCGACAGGUGGGACCCACUUGUCAGGUGGAGCGGGCGCGCGCGCGGCCUAGCUGGGCUGGACCUGCUGGGCUAAAUUCGUUUUUUCCUUUUUCUCUGAAUUUCCAAAUGCUUUUCUUUUUUUCUCUAGGGAAUUCAAAUCAAAUUCAAACACAAUUCAUAAUUCAAAUAAUUCAAACAUGUGCUUCAAACAAAAGAAUAAUUUAGGCUCAGCGUGAUGCAACAUUUCAUGACUCACAUAGGUUUUGAUAUAGUAAAUAAAUAAUUAAUCCCCUACAAACAAGACAUAUCUCUAAUAAAAAGAAGAGAGAAUAAAUCUAGAGAGAGAAACAAGAGAAGAAAUUUUAUACCCCCAAAUUCAGGGUGUUACAAAAUUGCUAUGAAUUUCAUAGUUGGAUUACCCCGUACUCGUGAUGGCUAGGAUUCCAUAUGGGUUAUUGUUGACAGGUUGACUAAAGUUGUACACUUUAUACCUGUAAAGACAACUUACUCGAGAGCCCAGUUAGCAGAUUUGUACAUGUCAAGGAUUGUUUGUCUGGAUGGAGUAUCGAAUAAAAUUUUAUCAAAUCGAGGAACCCAAUUUACCUCGCGCUUAUCAUCCACAAAUUGAUAGACAAAUGGAAAGAACAAAACAAGUGUUAGAAGAUAUGUUAAGAGCUUGCGCUUUAAAGCAUGGUGGAAGCUGGGAUAAGAGUUUGCCCUAUGCAGAAUUCUCUUAUAACAAUAAUGUCGGCGUUUCGACCACGGGGGUCCCUAGACCGACGAGUAAAUUGUCGAUGCGUGUCCCAGCCCAGAUGGGUCGGCGCGAGACGGAACACAAGGGGGAAAAUACUAAGGGGAAAUCGCAGGGUCGCCUCGAGUCGCGGCACCGGUUCCGCAGUCGAGAAGGCGCGGUAUUGGCGCAAGUGGCGGUGCAGUUUCUCGCACGUAGUAACCGGCGCGCCGGUUACAUGACGUGUGGUCCUGGGCCUCCAUGCUGGACGCAUCGAAGUCGAAAGGGUGCAUCCCCUUGGUGCAGUUGCAUGCCGCCUGCAUGGCGGUCCGCCCUUUCGCCCGUUGGUUUAGGCGAAGAUGGAGGAGUGCUCGUAACCGUUGGGCAGUUACGCGCUCCGCACGCGGCGGUUUGGCUUCUUCUGUCCUGGGCCAGCUUGCAUGACGCGUGGGACCCAGCUCCCAUGUCGUAGGGGGAGGACCUUGGAGCGUGUUGGUGAAGAUUCGGUCCGCGAUGGCUUGGACGCAAGUGAGGACCUUGGACGCAAGUGGGGAGAGUCGUCUUUAAAAAGGGGGUGACCCCCUUGGAUGACAGCCAUGCCUUCGCACUCCCCUUAUGCAUCGCGUCCUUCCACCUUCCGAGCCCCCGGAUGGGGAGCGCCCGCGUUGCUUUCGUCUCGCUGUCGUUGGAGGAACGCAACUUCACGGAAGUUGGUACCUUUCAGCCAUCGCUCGGCUUCAAGGAUUUUCAUCAGGCAGCCCAGCUACAUCCUCUUGCCGAUGGUCACCCAAGACGGUGACCACCAGUUUGAUGGUGGGGAGAAGCAAGCUGGGCUGCGGCCUCUGCCCCGCCCUCAGCUUCAAGGAUCUUCAUCAUCCUUGCUGGGAUGGAGGCCGGGCUGAGCCGGGGCCUGCCUUCGCGUGGGCCAGCGUCCCGCUUCUUCCUCCAGCUUCUGGGGGUGGAAACCAUCCUCCAGCUCUGCGGAGGAGGCGCCCUCCAGCCAUGUCGGGGAAGGUGAACUAUUGCUGCCCUGCCAGGGUGCAACAUUCCGUCCUUUGUCCGAGCGACGGUGGCCAGUCGCACCGGGGGGGUCUCCCAACACGUCGUACGCCACGAGGGCGGCACACAUGUUCUGGGACGGUCCCAUUCUCGUUUUUGUGGCGAGGACGGGAGUGAGGACCUGCCGGUGCGCUUUGGGGCGGCCGGCGCCCGCUGGUGCGGUGUUGGUGGGCAGGUGGACGUCACCGUCGGUGCUGAGGUGGUGGCAGCUGCAGAAAGCUUCUCCGCCGACGAGACCGUCAGUGCCACCCGCGGACCGACCUCCGGCUCUUUGGCUUUAAUAUCUGGUUCUCGUCCCUCGCGAAGGGACACAAACGAGAGCCUUCCAGCGGUAGCGUCCGUCCUGGGACCGUCGCUGCUGCUGCAGAGGUCGCUGGCGAGUCACCCGAAGUUUGUCGUCCCGCAGGCUCUCCGAUGUGGAGGUUGUUCAUACCCGCGGGAGUGGAACCGGAGUUUUGUUUGUAAUGGCACCUUGAGUGCCGGUGUCUGUUCAUUGUAGCUGUCGGGGCCUGAACAUGUGUGUAUUUGGGCGUAAAGUCGUGUUUCUUCCUCCUUUCGAGCACCAGACUCGCCUGUCGGCUAGCUGAACCGCUUAACCAAGUGUGAGUUGCCUCGUGCGGAAGGUGAUGAGUGAGGUAUCCGUAUCCCGGAGGCGUAGGAGUCCCUCGGCUCAGUCGUCCUUGCCGCCCGAGGCUUCUCUUGCUCAGUGAAGGAACCCUCGGCUGCUAUGCGAUGAGCCGAAACCGGAGGCAGCGGUGUUAGCAUGGACAGAGGCAGAGUUGGCUCGAAAAGAAGCUUUGUCGGCCGGAGCCUGGCCGGGCCGUCCACUGGCGGGACCAACGCCGGAGUCGGGUUGCCGAGGCCAUGAGCCGGGCUGAUGUCCUCAGGGGACAGCUGGCUGAGGCUACGGAGCGGCCGGUCGAGCCGUCUGCUCGGGCCGGGUUCCUGGAGGAGACCCCGGUGACGAUGGCCUAGGCGUGGUGCUGACAUCUUCCUUCGAGGUGGAGAUCCUCCGACCGUGUUGCCGUCCGAGGCCGGGUUGGAUUCCGCCGAAGGUGGAGUUGACGCCGAGGGUGCUGCUGCUCCUACUGAUGUCUGAUCCUGCAGGAACAGUUUAUAUGUAGUGUGCAUAUGUUUUUUGCGGCCGCCGAGGCCCAAACAUACCGUCGUCAUGUUGUAAAGCUAAGUUUCUUUUCCCCUUGUUUCGAGUAUCAGGACUUAUUUGUCGGUAACAAAAUUGUUUAUCCGAGCGAGAGUUACUUUUCACGGAAGGUGAUGAGUGGCCUUGCCGCUUACGUGUACUCUUACUCGUCUGUUGGAUUCUGUUAUCGAUAUAGUCCAGAAGGCAUGAAAAAUCGUUUCGGCAGAAAAGUUUUCGAGCGUUAAGACUUGUUCAGUCAGUGGAAUCGCUUAUCCGAGCGUGAGUUACUUAUCGCAGAAGGUGAUGAGUGAGGUAUCCGUAUCCCGGAGGCGUAGGAGUCCCUCGGCUCGGUCGGCCUUGCCGCUUACGUGUACUCCGUCAUUUUUAGGAUCCCACUAUCGAAGUAGUUGAAAAGCACGAAAGAUGUUCUGGCAGAAAGACUUUUUCCGAGGAAAAUUUUGACGAAGAGGGGGUUCCCCCCUUCUAGCCCCCGAGGGAGGGUAGGGCUUUGCCGAGGCAAGGCUGACCCUUCCUUGAUGGUUAGACUUUAUUUGUGUAUGUAAACGAGGUAUAUGAACGACUUGAAAACAUCUUAAGGGUAGAAGCGACGUAGCUGUCGGAUGUUCCAAGCGUUGUUGUAGACCUCGCCUUGACUGUUGGCCAGCUUGUAUGUUCCGGGCUUCAAAAUCUUGGUGAUGAUGAUCGGCCCUUCCCAGGGAGGCGUGAGCUUGUGGCGCCCUCGGGCGUCUUGCCGUAGCCGAAGCACCAAGUCCCCCACCUGGAGGUCUCGGGACCGAACCCCUCGGGCGUGGUAGCGUCACAGGGACUGCUGAUACCUUGCCGAGUGUAGUAAGGCCAUGUCUCGAGCCUCUUCCAGCUGGUCCAGUGAGUCUUCUCGGUUGGUCCGGUUGCUUCGGUCGUCGUACGCCCUCGUCCUCGGGGAACCGUAUUCUAAGUCUAUGGGCAAGAUAGCCUCGGCCCCAUAGACUAGAAAGAACGGCGUGAAGCCCGUGGCUCGGCUUGGCGUCGUCCUCAGACUCCAGAGCACCGAGGGGAGUUCCUUCAUCCAUUGCCUGCCGAAUUUGUUGAGGUCGUUGUAGAUUCGUGGAUUGAGUCCUUGCAGAAUCAUGACGUUGGCACGCUCUACCUGCCCAUUCGUCAUGGGGUGAGCUACGGCGGCCCAGUCCACCCGGAUGUGGUGGUCCUCGCAGAAGUCCAGGAACUUUCUGCCAGUGAACUGGGUGCCGUUGUCGGUGAUGAUGGAGUUCGGGACCCCGAAGCGAUGGAUGAUGUUGGUGAAGAACGCCACCGCCUAUUCGGACCGGAUGCUGUUUAGGGGUCGGACCUCAAUCCACUUGGAGAAUUUGUCGAUAGCGACCAGCAGGUGCGUGAAGCCCCCAGGUGCCUUCUGCAAGGGACCGACGAGGUCCAGACCCCACACAGCAAAUGGCCAGGUGUUGGGUAUUGUUUGCAGGGCCUGAGCGGGCAGGUGCGUCUGCCUUUCGUAGAAUUGACACCCUUGGCAGGUGCGUACAAUCCUAGUGGCGUCGGCCACCGCGGUUGGCCAGUAGAAACCCUGUCGGAAGGCGUUUCCAACUAGGGCUCAAGGCGCUGCGUGAUGACCUCAAGCCCCUGAGUGUAUUUCUUGCAAUAGUUCCUGACCUUCGGCGAUGGAUAUGCAUCGCUUGAGGAUGCCUGAGGGGCUGCGGUGGUAGAGCUCCUUUCCGUCACCCAGCAAGAUGAACGACUUGGCGCGCCGCGCCAGUCGCCGAGCUUCGGCUCUGUCGAGGGGUAGCUCUCCUCGGUGGAGAUAUUGCAGGUACGGGGUCUGCCAGUUUCGAUUAGGCAGGACCCCAUUCCGCUCUUCCUCGACGCGCAGUGCCUCACCCUCGGGGGCCGAGGGUGCCUCGGGCUGAGCCGAGGGUGCCUCGAGCUGAGCCGAGGGCGCCUCGGGCAGGGCCGAGACCUUCUCGGGCUCGGGCGUGUCGUCGGUCUUGACUGAGGGUUGAUGUAGGUCUCGGGAGAAGACGUCCGGAGGAACCGUUGUCCGCCCCGAGGCUAUUUUAGCCAGCUCGUCCGAAGUCUCGUUGUAUCGUCGGGCGACGUGGUUGAGCUCGAGCCCGUAGAACUUGUCUUCCAGGCGCCGAACCUCGUCGCAGUAUGCUUCCAUCUUCGGGUUGCGGUAGUGUGAGUUCUUCAUGACUUGGUCGAUGACAAGCUGCGAUUCGCCACGAGCGUCGAGGCGCCGAACCCCUAGCUCGAUGGCGAUGCGCAACCCGUUAACCAGAGCCUCGUACUCGGCCACGUUGUUGGACGCCGGGAAAUGGAGACGCAGCACGUAGCGGAGGUGCUUCCCGAGGGGUGAGAUGAAGAGCAGGCCCGCGCCCGCUCCUGUUUUCAUCAAUGACCCGUCGAAAAACAUGGUCCAGAGUUCCGGUUGGAUCGGAGCUGCUGGAAGCUGGGUGUCGACCCAUUCAGCAAUAAAGUCCGCCAAGACUUGGGACUUGAUGGCCUUCCGAGGAGCGAACGAGAUUGUCUCGCCCAUGAUCUCCACCGCCCACUUUGCAAUCCUUCCCGAGGCCUCUCGGCACUGGAUGAUCUCCCCCAGGGGGAAGGAUGACACCACAGUCACCGGAUGAGACUCGAAGUAGUGUCGCAACUUUCUCCACGUCAGAACUAUCGCGUACAGUAGCUUCUGAAUUUGCGGGUAGCGGAUUUUGGUCUCGGACAGUACCUCACUGAUGAAGUAGACCGACCUCUGGACGAGCAAUGCAUGCCCUUCUUCUUGUCUCUCGACUACGAUCGUGGCGCUGACCACCUGAGUGGUUGCGGCUACGUAGAUCAAGAGGGCUUCUCUCGCAGCGGGGGGCACAAAGAUGGGCGUGCUUGAAAGGAGCGCCUUUAAGUUCCCGAGGGUUUCCUCGGCCUCGGGGGUCCAAGUGAAGUGCUCGGCCUUCCUUAAGAGGUGGUACAAAGGUAGGCCUCUUUCGCCGAGGCGCGAGAUGAAGCGGCUCAGAGCCGCAAGGCAUCCCAUGACCCUCUGUACUCCUUUCAAGUCCUUGAUGGGGCCCAUGUUGGUGAUGGCCUCGAUUUUUUCCGGGUUGGCCUCGAUGCCCCGCUCGGAGACGAUGAACCCCAGGAGCAUGCCUCGGGGGACCUCGAAGACACACUUCUCGGGAUUGAGUUUUAUGCCUUUCGCCUUGAGACACUUGAAUGUCGUUUCAAGGUCAGAGAGGAGGUCGGAGGCUUUCCUCGUCUUGACUACGAUGUCAUCGACGUAAGCCUCGACUGUUCGACCAAUGUGCUCUCCGAACACGUGGUUCAUGCACCUUUGGUAUGUCGCACCCGCAUUCCUCAAAUCGAAUGGCAUAGUAAUGUAGCAGUACAUGCCAAAAGGUGUGAUGAAAGAAGUCGCGAGCUGGUCGGACUCUUUCAUCCUGAUUUGGUGAUACCCUGAGUAGGCAUCAAGGAACUACAGAGUUUCGCACCCAGCAGUGGAAUCCACAAUUUUAUCGAUGCGAGGCAAAGGGUAGGGAACCUUCGAACAUGCUUUGUUUAGACCAGUGUAGUCUACACACAUCUGCCAUUUCCCGCCUUUCUUUCUCACAAGCACAGGGUUGGCUAGCCAUUCGGGAUGGAAUACCUCUUUGAUGAACCCUGUAGCCAUCAGCUUGUGGAUCUCCUCGCCUAUGGCUCUGCGCUUUUCUUCGUCGAAUCGGCGCAGAGGCUGCUUCAUGGGUCGGGCUCCAGCUCGGAUAUCCAGCGAGUGCUCGGCGACAUCCCUCCGUAUGCCAGGCAUGUCCGAGGGACUCCACGCGAAAACCUCGGCGUUUGAGCGGAGAAAGUCGACGAGCACUGCUUCUUAUUUGGGGUCGAGCUCGGAGCCGAUCCGGACUUGCUUGGAGGCGUCGUUGCUGGGGUCGAGAGGGACGGACUUAACCGUCUCAGCUGGCUCGAAGUUGCCGGUGUGGCGCUUCACAUCUGGCACCUCCUUGGAGAGGUUCUCUAGGUCGGCGAUGAGGGCCUCGGCGUACUCCACGCACUCCACGUCGCAUUCGUACGCGUGUCGGUACGUGGAGCCGACGGUGAUGACCCCGUUGGGGCCCGGCAUCUUGAGCUUGAGGUAGGUGUAGUUGGGGACGGCCAUGAACUUGGCGUAGCAUGGUCUCCCCAACACUGCGUGGUAGGUUCCUCGGAACCCGACCACCUCGAACGUGAGGGUUUCCUUUCGGAAGUUGGAGGGGGUCCCGAAGCAGACGGGCAGAUCGAGUUGCCCAAGGGGCUGGAUGCGCUUCCCGGGGAUGAUCCCGUGAAAAGGCGCCGCGCCGGCCUGGAUCGUGGACAGAUCGAUCUGCACGAGCCCGAGGGUCUCGGCGUAGAUGAUGUUGAGGCUGCUGCCUCCGUCCAUGAGGACCUUGGUGAGCCUGACGUUGCCGAUGAUGGGAUCGACAAUGAGCGGGUACUUUCCCGGGCUCGGCACGCGGUCGGGGUGGUCGCCUUGGUCGAAGGUGAUGGGCUUGUCGGACCAGUCUAGGUAGACUGGCGCCGCCACCUUCACCGAGCAGACCUCCCGGCGCUCUUGCUUGCGGUGCCGAGCCGAGGCGUUCGCCACUUGCCCACCGUAGAUCAUGAAGCAGUCAUGGACCUCGGGGAACUCUUCUGCCUUGUGGCCCUCCUUCUUAUCAUUGUCGUGGGCUCUGCCACCUUCCGCCGGUGGCCCGACCUUGUGGAAGUAGCGCCGAAGCAUGACACACUCCUCAAGGGUGUGCUUGACGGGACCCUGAUGAUAGGGGCACGACUCCUUGAGCAUCUUGUCGAACAGGUUGGCGCCUCCAGGAGGCUUCCGAGGGUUCCUGUGCUCGGCGGCGGCGACAAGGUCUGUGUCGGCGGCGUCCCGUUUCGCUUGUGACUUCUUCUUGCCCUUCUUCUUGGUGCCGCGCUGAGCGGACGCCUCGGGGACGUCUUCCGGCUGAUGCCCCUGAGGCUGCUUGUCCUUCCGGAAGAUGGCCUCGACCGCCUCCUGACCAGAGGCGAACUUGGUGGCGAUGUCCAUCAGCUCGCUCGCCCUGGUGGGAGUCUUGCGACCCAGCUUUCUCACCAAGUCGCGGCAAGUGGUACCAGCGAGGAACGCGCCGAUGACAUCCGAGUCGGUGAUGUUGGGCAGCUCGGUGCGCUGCUUCGAAAAUCGCGGAUGUAGUCCCUCAGGGAUUCUCCCGGCUGCUGGCGGCAGCUUCGGAGAUCCCAGGAGUUCCCAGGGCGCACAUAUGUGCCCUGGAAGUUACCGGCGAAGGCUUUGACCAGGUCGUCCCAGUUGGAGAUAUGCGCAGGUGGCAGAUGCUCCAGCCAGGCUCGGGCGGUGUCGGAGAGGAACAGGGAGAGGUUGCGGAUGAUGAGGUUGCCAUCGUCCAUUCCACCCAGCUGGUAGGCCAGCCGGUAGUCCGCGAGCCAUAGUUCCGGCCUUGUCUCCCCCGAGUACUUGGUGAUGGUAGUCGGGGUUCGGAACUGGGUCGGGAACGGCGCCCGUCGUAUGGCCCGGCUGAAAGCUUGCGGACCGGGUGGUUCGGGCGAGGGGCUCCGAUCCUCCCCGUUGUCGUAGCGUCCCCCACGCCUGGGGUGGUAGCCUCGGCGCACCUUCCCGUCGAGGUGGGCUCGACGGUCGCGGCGGUGGUGCUCGUUGCCGAGGCGACCCGGGGCCGCAGGUGCCGUGUUCUGCGUGCGCCCGGUGUGGACCGAGGCUUCCCAUAUGAAUCGGGAAGUCGUGGCGCGAUGCUCCAGGGGGUACCCUUGCCUUCGGGAGGCAGAGCUUUCGGCCCGUCGGACUGCGGCAUCCUCCAGGAGAUUCUUGAGCUCUCCCUGGAUACGUCGCCCCUCGGUGGUGGAUGGUUCCGGCAUCGCUCGGAGUAGUAUUGCUGCUGCGGCCAGGUUCUAGCCAACCCCACUAGAAGCCGGGGGCAGCCUUGCCCUUGCAUCGUUGGCGAUGCGGUGCUGGACAUCCUGGGCCAGAUGACGCGCUUCUCCGACCGGUGCUCGGCCUGCCCACUCCUGCCCGAUAUUCUGCCGGAGCUGCACAAGUUGUCCUGCUUCCUCGUCGAGCCUGGCCUGCAUCUCGCGGAUUUGCUCGAGCUGUGCGUCCUGACCCCCCGCAGGGACUGGGACCACAGCUAGCUCCCGAAGGAUGUCAACGCGAGGCGCAGGCCUAGGGGGAUCGCCGUCCUCCGGCAUACCAAGGUGGUUGCCUUCGUCGAGACCCCCUAGAUCGACGUGGAAACAUUCGCGACUUGGGCCACAGUCCUCGUCGCCGAGGCUGUGGCUACUAUCGGAGCAAUCGGAGAGGCAGUAGUCACAUGCGGUCAUGAAGUCCCGCAUGGCACUGGGGUCACCGAGCCCAGAGAAAUCCCAACCAGAAUCGGGCUCGUCAUCUUCCUCAGAACCCGGGGGCCCGUAGGUCGAGACGGCUGUCAGUCGGUCCCAGGUUGACCACAUAUGAUACCCCGGAAGGCUCGGAUAUGCCUUUAUGAAAGCAUCCACCGAAGCGGGGUCGUUUGGUGGGUCGAAGCUGAAUCUAAAAGGCACAGGAUGGGAAACGGACGGUACCUCCUGAUCGAUGGAUGGUGACGAAGUCGCGUCGGGGACGGACUGCACCGUUAUCUCAGGUACGAGGCUAACGUUCAACAAGUCCUUCGCGAGCGUGCUGGCGUCGUCCGUCUGCUUGGGGUUGGCGUGUUGCGGGGAAACGACACUCGUCUUCGUCUCAGACGUGAGGUCAACGCCCGACGUGUCCCCCGCUGGGGCGCCGGUGCCAUCGACUCGCUCGACAGCCGACGAGGUGCCGCCUCUGCUUGGCCAUGGUUGCCCCGCCUCCUCCUCCAUCGGCGGGGAAGGUGACGGGACAAACCCGGAUGUUGCUCUUCCGCCACGUGGGGAAGACGUCGUUGAUUCCACUGCCGGCGGGCGGGCUGACGGCCGCCAUUGUCGUUGUCGCGCGGCGGAGGAAGGAGUAUCAUGUCGUAGCUACCGUCGAGGGACAUGAACUCGAGACUCCUGAAACGGAGCAUCGUCCCAGGUUGGAGAGAUUGAUGGAGACUACCCAUCUGGAGCUUGACGGGAAGCUGUUCGUCAACACACAGCAGGCCCCUACCUGGCGCGCCAACUGUCGGUGUUUCGACCCCGGGGGGUCCCUGGACCGACGAGUAAAUUGUCUUUGCGUGUCCCAGCCCAGAUGGGUCAGCGUGAGACGGAACACAAGGGGGAAAACAGUAAGGGGAAAUCGCGGCCUCGUGUUGUCCUGCGCCCAGGGAGGAUGCGCUUGCAGUAGGGGGUUACAAGUGUUCGCGAGGGAGAGAGAGAGGGCGAGAGCCUUGUGCGUUGGCCCGUCUUACCGCGCGGCCACCUUCUCGUACGAGGGCCCUGGACCUUCCUUUUAUAGAUGUAAGGAGAAGGCCCAGGUGUACAAUGGGGGGUGUAGCAAUGUGCUAACGUGUCUAGCAGAGGGAAGCCAGAGUCCUAUGUACAGGCCGACGUGGCUGUCGGAGAGGUUUUGGCGCCCUAUUCAUGUGAUGUCGUGGCCGUCGGAGGAGUGCUUGAGCCCUGUAGGAACACAGCUGUCGGAGCUGUCGGGUCCUUGCUGAUGUCUCCUUGCUUCCGUAGGGGGCUGAGAACCAUCGUCGUCAUGGAGCAUGCGGGGUGCCAUCAUUACUUGUUUUACCGGGACGAGCCAGAUGGGACGCCGGUCUUGUUCCCCGUAGCCUGAGCUAGCUAGGGUUAGGGUAAUGAUGUGCCCCCCUGCGACGUGGUCGGUCCGAGCCCAAGGUCGGGCGAGGCGGAGGCUCCACCGAGGACGAGGCUGAGUCCGAGCCCUGGGGUCGGGCGAGGCGGAGACCGUCGUCCGAGGUUGAGUCCGAGCCCUGGGGUCGGGCGAGGCGGAGUCCGUCGUCCGAGGUCGAGGUUGAGUCUGAGCCCUGGGGUCGGGCGAGGCGGAACUUCCUAUGGCGCCUGAGGCCGGACUUGGCGGCUGUCAGCCUCACCCUGACGGGUGGCACAGCAGCCGGAGUAGCGCAGACGGUGCUGUUUUCCAGUCAGGUCAGCCAGUGGAGGGGCGAAGUGACUGCGGUCACUUCGGCUCUGUCGACUGAGGAGCGCGCGUCAAGAUAAGGUGUCAGGCGAUCCUUGCAUUGAAUGCUCCUGCGAUCCGGUCGGUUGGCGUGGCGAUCUGGCCAAGGCUGCUUCUCCGCGAAGCCUGCCCGAGCUGGGCCUCGGGCGAGUCGAAGGUGCGCCCGUUGCUUGAGGGGACCCUCGGGCGAGACGUGAAUCCUCCUGGGUCAGUUGUCUUCGCCCGAGGCUGGGCUCGGGCGAGGCGAGAUCGUGUCCCUUGAGUGUACGGAGCCUUGACCUGAAUUGCGCCCAUCAGGCCUUUGUAGCUUUGUGCUGAUGGGGGUUACCAGCUGAGAUUAGGAGUCUUGGGGGUACCCCUAAUUAUGGUCCCCGACAAAUAGUUACUAAGCAAGUCUAAAGAUGGCACCGUUUGAAGUACUCUAUGGAUGGAAAUGCAGAACACCACUUUAUUGGAAUCAAACUGGAGAAAAUCAAAUAUUUGGUCUAGAAAUUCUCCAAAAAGCAGAGAAGCACGUGCAAAUUGUCAGAGAGAAUUUAAAACAGCACAAUCAAGGCAGAAGAGCUAUGCUGACAAUAGAAGAAGAGAAUUAACCUUUGAAGUUGGAGACUUCGUAUAUCUUAAAGUUUCACCAAUGAGAGGAAUGAGAAGAUUUAAGGUUAAAGGUAAAUUAUCUCCCGGUUAUAUCGGCCCAUUCAAAAUUUUGGAAAGAAAAGGAGUAGCAUAUCAGUUGGAGCUACCCGACAAUUUAUCGGGCGUGCAUGACGUAUUUCAUGUAUCGCAACUUAAGAAAUGAUUAAGAGUAUCGGAGGAACAAUUACCUAUGGAAGAACUCAACGUUAAUGAGGAUUUAACUUAUUUGGAGUAUCCUAUCAAAAUUUUGGAAACAUCUCGCACAAUUGCUCGAAGUAAAGUUAUCAACAUGUGCAAACUUCAAUGGAGUCAUCAUUCGGAAGAUGAGGCCAUGUCACACCCGGGUUUUAGGGGCACCAAGACCCGGGCGCGAACAUAAUCACCAGAUGUGCUGGGACCAAGUCUCACACAUAUGAUGAAUCAUGGCACAGGAUCGAAUGUCACAUCUUUACUAUAUAAUAGGAGUUCUGUACAAAAUAAAUAAAUAAUUACAUUAUAAGGAGACAACGGUCCAGCAACCCAAAGUUGACUGGGAGACGACGGCCUAGAUCUCUCACGAACACAUCACAACAUCCUCCAAGCGCCUCAUCCUGUGGUACCUGUUCUUGACCUGUGGGGGGUGAGACAGCAAGAGUGAGCUCACAUACGUUCAUAGCUCAACAAGUUGUGGGGAAUAAUGUGCAUGAACUCGCUAAAGGUGGGAGCUCAUAAAGUGUAAGGCUUACCAAAGAGGAUGGUUGAAGCUGAGCAUUGCUUUUAGAGUUGGUCAAAAUUUUAUUAGCAAUUACUAAGUAUAAGUAAAUAUCAACCCAAUUAAGUAGUAGAACAAAAGUAACAACCUCACCUGCGAUGCAAUGCAUAUGACAAAUUGAAUUUAGUUCCAUAAUUUAAUCAUGUGAGUGUCCGAGCCGCUCAUGACCGUGAGCACGGCUAGUAUACCAGUUUUACACUCUGCAGAGGUUGCGCAUCUUUACCCACAAGUCAUGUUACUCAUCUGCCAAGAGACGGCCAAUCCCAUACACCUCUACCGAGGAGGCGAGGUAGGGUAACACUACGAGGCCUUUACAAAGUUCCACUAGCUUCAGAAAACCCGCUACAGUUUAUAGGAAGCUCCAGUGCAGGAGUCCCUCGACUGACCGCCAUCGCAGCAAAAUCAACCAAGGACCUCCCUACACUGACCACUCCCCUACUGCCCUUGCCCCUUUCGGGUAAGGUAAUCAUCCACUAGCUUUCCUAGUUAAUCAGCCAAGGGCAUCCAUAAACCCUUGUGGUAGCACUGUUUUCCCGGGUGGUUCUCCAUGUUCCAAUUAACAUAAUGAUCUUAACAUGAACAAUAAAUAACAACUGAUAACAAAAGUAUAAUCAUGAAUAGUGUAAUCUUCAUACCCAAAACCACAUAAAGCAAUAGCAGGUACUACCCAAAAAAUGUAGUGGUAAUCAAGGCAUAAAGAUAGUCAAACUGGGGUAACCUAUUGGGUCCCAUCAAAAUUAACCUAUGCAGAUCAUUAUGAUUAAUUAGAACAUGACUGGGUAAAAGAAGUGAUCAAGGGCACAACUUGCCUGGGACUUGAGAUUCCAGGUACCAACUUGCUCUUCAGAUGACACGUGACCUCGCUCUAGUCGUAGCAAUACAAACAAACAUUGUAUAGGCAAAAAUUAACAUUACACCAAACAUAAGAAUAAACUGCGUAAUAAUAAUCUACGUGUCGCUACGAGAUCGUAGGAGCGAGAAUCACUAAAUUCGGAGCUACGUUUAAGAAGUUAUGGUUUUCCGAAGUCUUUAUGUUCUUGGUAAAAAAAAUUAAUUGAGUGAUCAAUUCUAAUGUGGCUUCCAUGUUAAAACAGAGUUACUAGGUGAUAAACAAUAUUAUUAUAAAAUUAAUGCAAUUGGAAUGGGUCAAAAAUGAGUUAAAAUGAAUUAGUUAUGAAUUAACCAAGUUUAUGUAAUUGUUUUCAUUCUAGAAAUCAUUUUCUAUUUUACAUCUUGUACUCCUCCAGCGAUUAUGGACCGUGGACAUAAAAAUCCGAGAGCACAGGGGUCGUUCUAAAAAUAUUAGGACUUAAGCUUAAUACGUUAACACUACCUCUGGUCUGCGGGUUAAUUCGUACAAUCUACAGGGGCUCUUAGCAAAAUGGCAACGGCGAAGAGGUACCGGGGAUCCAGAGCCGUUCGAUCAUAAGCUGAGGGCCUAGAUUAGAUGUACUACCCCAGUGAACCGGUACGUGAUGUGAGUCAUUGGAUCCUCAUCACGCGGCUACAUUUAAUUGGAGCGAAGGGGGAUACGGUGAUCAAAUCCCACACGUCGGAUUCAAAUCGGGCAAACGACAUUAUCCAAGGCCGAACCGCAACAUGAGAUUUGAUCCCAACCGUCCACAUCCGAACGAACGGCCAGGAGAUCGCCUCCGACCUUCAGUAGCCAAGCUCGGUCGCGCACACCACGCCCGCGGCGGCGCCAUUGCCGGCAAGCCACCACCCCACGCCCCAGUGCUCCAAACUACAACCGAGCGCGUGCAACACGUAGAGGAGGUCAAGGCGAAGUCAAGAUGAGGAAAUUUUACUAGAGAAAACGGUGGGCACAAGGCUGUCCGCGGACCAGGCGGAUUUGCGACGGAGAUGAGUGCUCCGGUGAGAAAUCGCCCAACUGCCCGGGCCUCCCGCGCUCAGCAGUGACCCAAGAACGAACCACGCGCAAACGCGAUGCUCCCCGACCACUUGCACACUCAGAUUGAUGACGACCACGAGGAAAUCGCACUGCGGCAGGAUCCGCGGCAAUGGUGGCUCACGGCCAAAUCUUUUUGAGGUGAGCACGGGAUUGAUACCGGGAGAUCCCCACGAAGGGCGCCUUAUAUAGGGGCGAGAGCCGCAGCCAGCCGCCAACCUACUGGCGAGGAUCGCGGCGGAGUCCACGACGGCGCAGAGAAGAUGCGCGCGAUUUAGUUGGGGAUGAACGGACUGCAUAGGGGACCCACGCGCCGGUGACCCAGAAACGCGAGAAGAAUCGGUCAUCUGACCAUCGCCUGGGCCCCACCCGGCAGUGUUACCGCGGUGCAGAUGCGAGAGGUGAGGCCGCCCUGUGGGCCCCACCAGCCAGCGAGCCAGAGGCACGCACGCGCGCAAAUAGGGGACCUGGGCUGCGCGGUGGGGAAGUUGGGGAAAAUGGGCCGAGGGCGUAGGAAUUUGGCCCAUGCAGGUUUGUUUCUUUUUUUCUAUUUUCAAUUUCUUUUAAAUUUUCAAAUCUCUAUUCCAAAUUCAAAUUUAUUCAAAUUUAAACUUCAACUUUCUAAGUACCAAAAUUAAUCCUAAUAUAAACUUUACUGUUUACAAUAUUAUUAUUAUUAUUAUUAUUGAUUCUUUUCCUUAUUAUUUAUUCAUGGGAGAAACAAAUGACUUCAUUAAAAUUCUUUUUUUUCAAUUUCUAUUUUACGUUUUCAUUUAAAAUUCUAAGGUCAAAUCCAAGUUAUGUCUUUAAUAAAAUGUCUUAGCCAAAGUGAUAAGCAAGGGAUGCAUUUUCUUUUGUUUUUAUUUGAUGGUUGCUUAACUUAAUAUCAUUAAUUGAUUAUAAAUGGGAAGGAUCUUAAUAAAUUCUCAAGGGUUUUUGGAAAUUCUAGAAAUACUACCCUAGAUAUUCUUAUUUAUUUAUUUUAUUAUUUUAUGAUAUAUAAAUUUUUUUCUUCUACUAAUUUUAGGUCUUACAAAUCCUACCCCCUUAACAGAAAUCUCGUCCUCGAGAUUUGUAGGAAAGGGUGUAUACUCAUAUUAUCUCAACACAUAUACGCAAACAAAAUCUCAGCAUGAUGCAUACUUCAUUAGCAAGACAUGGGGUCGAUUAGACCUUAUUGUUCCUUCUAAAAUAAUAUCAUAUCAUCUACUAACUAAAGUAACAUCUAGAUCUUACAAAUAGUAGUAAUUUAUAUAUAUGUUUAUGUAGCUUGGUGGAGCUGGUGGUGGUGGUGGAGGUUAUUGUUGUCAUUGUCUCUCCAACCGCGCUUGCCUUAUUUCUUGGCGUAUCUCCAAACGGACCUGACGUAUUUCCUCGCGUUCUUGUCUUAUCUGAUUUUGCAUCUCGGUCACCAGGUCUGUCAAUUGUUGUAUUACCAGUCUUUGGGCAGCAACCACUUGAUCGAUUUCAACAGGUGGAUGAUUUGGAGGAUUCAUUUCUGUUUGCUGUUGCGUGAUAAUCUUUCCUUUCCUGGUAUUGACCAUGAAAGUUAGAAGCAUAUGGGAAUAUAGUUGUUUUUUUUGCAAGGAAAAUUAUUUGGUAGGCAAACGAACCGGCCAAUAACUGGUUAUGUUCUGAGGGUUCUUUGGCACGGCUUAAUCUUUAUUUUAUACCAAGCUUGGGAUAACUAGUCGUAUAAGGUGAAUAUCCAAGGUAGGAUAGAAUUUUGUUAAGAUGAGAUUAUCUACAUGGUGUAGGUUAAAAGUUUGUUUGAUGUUAAGUGGGGACAUAUAGAUUAUACCUUUCAUCAUGACUCUAUGGGUUGGAUUAGCUCAUGGUUGAGUUGAUCCAAUGUGCUAAGUUAAGUUAAUACAUGGCUAGUAGGGUCUAAUUUCUUCUACUAGUGUCAUUAAUCUGUUUAAGUGGACCACAUUAGGUUAGAUUACAUUAGACCACACUAGAUCUGAUCACAUUAGGUAAGAUAAGAUCUAGAUUAGAUUGGAUAUGACUAGAUUAGACUAGUUUAGGUUAGAUAGGUCUAACAGGGUAGAAUAUGUAUUAUUAAGAUAUGUUAGAUUCUUUUGAGAUUAGUUAGAUAUGUUAUGAUAAGAUAGAAUCUCUUCAAGAUAAGAUGAAUUUAUUAAGGUAAGAAGAAUCUUUUAAGAUGAGGUGGAUCUAGUAAGAUAAGAGAGAAUAUUAUAAGAUACGAUGAAUCUAUUAAGAUAUGGGAGAGUCUUUUAAGAUAAGAGGGAUCUCUAUGAGAUAGAUACAUUUUAAUGGAGGAUAAUCUAAGUUGUUUAGUUAUCUUAUGAAUUCUAUUUAUACCUAUACGUAUAUGCAGAUGUAAUGGUGGACAUUACUCCACAACCCAUCACACUCAAUCAAAGAUCCAAAUCAGACAAGUAUCAUAAGAACAAACACUCAAGCAUACCAAUAUCUACAAAAAUAGUUUUGCUUUUGUUCCUAAGAUUAGGUCUCCUAUUCCUAAAUGUCACUUUAGGUACGGGAUUUCAAAGUGUGAAAUCCACAUUUGUCUUUAGAAAUAAAAGGUAAGAAUAGUCAGAGUAAAGCGGAAAUAGAUGAGAUAUGAUUAAGAUAAGUUUAGAAAAGAAUCAGAGUAGCAAAGGCAAGGUUAAUCGGAGUAGAAUAGUAGAAGAUGAGAUAGGAUCAAGAAAAGUAUAGAAAGAAUCAGAGUAAGGUAAGUAGGUAAGGAUUUGUCCAUUUCUAUCUAGGUUUCGUCCCACAGUCAACAUUCCUCUGAUACCACUUCUGUCACACCCGGGUUUUAGGGGCACCAAGACCCGGGCGCGAACAUAAUCACCAGGUGUGCUGGGACCAAGUCUCACACAUAUGAUGAAUCAUGGCACAGGAUCGAAUGUCACAUCUUUACUAUAUAAUAGGAGUUCUGUACAAAAUAAAUAAAUAAUUACAUUAUAAGGAGACAACGGUCCAGCAACCCAAAGUUGACUGGGAGACGACGGCCUAGAUCUCUCACGAACAAAUCACAGCAUCCUCCAAGCGCCUCAUCAUGUGGUACCUGUUCUUGACCUGUGGGGGGUGUGAGACAGCAAGAGUGAGCUCACAUACGUUCAUAGCUCAACAAGUUGUGGGGAAUAAUGUGCAUGAACUCGCUAAAGGUGGGAGCUCAUAAAGUGUAAGGCUUACCAAAGAGGAUGGUUGAAGCUGAGCAUUGCUUUUAGAGUUGGUCAAAAUUUUAUUAGCAAUUACUAAGUAUAAGUAAAUAUCAACCCAAUUAAGUAGUAGAACAAAAGUAACAACCUCACCUGCGAUGCAAUGCAUAUGACAAAUUGAAUUUAGUUCCAUAAUUUAAUCAUGUGAGUGUCCGAGCCGCUCAUGACCAUGAGCACGGCUAGUAUACCAGUUUUACACUCUGCAGAGGUUGCGCAUCUUUACCCACAAGUUAUGUUACCCAUCUGCCAAGAGACGGCCAAUCCCAUACACCUCUACCGAGGAGGCGAGGCAGGGUAACACUACGAGGCCUUUACAAAGUUCCACUAGCUUUAGAAAACCCGCUACAGUUUAUAGGAAGCUCUAGUGCAGGAGUCCCUCGACUGACCGCCAUCACAGCAAAAUCAACCAAGGACCUCCCUACACUGACCACUCCCCUACUGCCCUUGCCCCUUUCGGGUAAGGUAAUCAUCCACUAGCUUUCCUAGUUAAUCAGCCAAGGGCGUCCAUAAACCCUUGUGGUAGCACUGUUUUCCCGGGUGGUUCUCCAUGUUCCAAUUAACAUAAUGAUCUUAACAUGAACAAUAAAUAACAACUGAUAACAAAAGUAUAAUCAUGAAUAGUGUAAUCUUCAUACCCAAAACCACAUAAAGCAAUAGCAGGUACUACCCAAAAAAUGUAGUGGUAAUCAAGGUAUAAAGAUAGUCAAACUGGGGUAACCUAUUGGGUCCCAUCAAAAUUAACCUAUGCAGAUCAUUAUGAUUAAUCAGAACAUGACUGGGUAAAAGAAGUGAUCAAGGGCACAACUUGCCUGGGACUUGAGAUUCCAGGUACCAACUUGCUCUUCAGAUGACACGUGACCUCGCUCUAGUCGUAGCAAUACAAACAAACAUUGUAUAGGCAAAAAUUAACAUUACACCAAACAUAAGAAUAAACUGCGUAAUAAUAAUCUACGUGUCGCUACAAGAUCGUAGGAGCAAGAAUCACUAAAUUCGGAGCUACGUUUAAGAAGUUAUGGUUUUUCGAAGUCUUUAUGUUCUUGGUAAAAAAAAUUAAUUGAGUGAUCAAUUCUAAUGUGGCUUCCAUGUUAAAACAAAGUUACUAGGUGAUAAACAAUAUUAUUAUAAAAUUAAUGCAAUUGGAAUGGGUCAAAAAUGAGUUAAAAUGAAUUAGUUAUGAAUUAACCAAGUUUAUGUAAUUGUUUUCAUUCUAGAAAUCAUUUUCUAUUUUACAUCUUGUACUCCUCCAGCGAUUAUGGACUGUGGACAUAAAAAUCCGAGAGCACAGGGGUCGUUCUAAAAAUAUUAGGACUUAAGCUUAAUACGUUAACACUACCUCUGGUCUGCGGGUUAAUUCGUACAAUCUACAGGGGCUCUUAGCAAAAUGGCAACGGCGAAGAGGUACCGGGGAUCCAGAGCCGUUCGAUCAUAAGCUGAGGGCCUAGAUUAGAUGUACUACCCCAGUGAACCGGUACGUGAUGUGAGUCAUUGGAUCCUCAUCACGCGGCUACAUUUAAUUGGAGCGAAGGGGGAUACGGUGAUCAAAUCCCACACGUCGGAUUCAAAUCGGGCAAACGACAUUAUCCAAGGCCGAACCGCAACAUGAGAUUUGAUCCCAACCGUCCACAUCCGAACGAACGGCCAGGAGAUCGCCUCCGACCUUCAGCAGCCAAGCUCGGUCGCGCACACCACGCCCGCGGCGGCGCCAUUGCCGGCAAGCCACCACCCCACGCCCCAGUGCUCCAAACUACAACCGAGCGCGUGCAACACGUAGAGGAGGUCAAGGCGAAGUCAAGAUGAGGAAAUUUUACCAGAGAAAACGGUGGGCACAAGGCUGUCCGCGGACCAGGCGGAUUUGCGAUGGAGAUGAGUGCUCCGGUGAGAAAUCGCCCAACUGUUCGGGCCUCCCGCGCUCAGCUGUGACCCAAGAACGAACCACGCGCAAACGCGAUGCUCCCCGACCACUUGCACACUCCGAUUGAUGACGACCACGAGGAAAUCGCACUGCGGCAGGAUCCACGGCAAUGGUGGGUCACGGCCAAAUCUUUUUGAGGUGAGCACGGGAUUGAUACCAGGAGAUCCCCACGAAGGGCGCCUUAUAUAGGGGCGAGAGCCACAGCUAGCCGCCAACCUACUGGCGAGGAUCGCGGCGGAGUCCACGGCGGCGCAGAGAAGAUGCGCGCAAUUUAGUUGGGGAUGAACGGACUGAAGAGGGGACCCACGCGCCGGUGACCCAGAAACGCGAGAAGAAUCGGUCAUCUGACCGUCGCCUGGGCCCCACCCGGCAGUGUUACCGCGGUGCAGAUGCGAGAGGUGAGGCCGCCCUGUGGGCCCCACCGGCCAGCGAGCCAGAGGCACGCGCGCGCGCGAAUAGGGGACCUGGGCUGCGCGGUGGGGAAGUUGGGGAAAAUGGGCCGAGGGCGUAGGGAUUUGGCCCAUGCAGGUUUGUUUCUUUUUUUCUAUUUUCAAUUUCUUUUAAAUUUUCAAAUCUCUAUUCCAAAUUCAAAUUUAAACUUCAACUUUCUAAGUGCCAAAAUUAAUCCUAAUAUAAACUUUACUGUUUACAAUAUUAUUAUUAUUAUUGAUUCUUUUCCUUAUUAUUUAUUCAUGGGAGAAACAAAUGACUUCAUUAAAAUUCCUUUUUUCAAUUUCUAUUUUACGUUUUCAUUUAAAAUUCUAAGGUCAAAUCCAAGUUAUGUCUUCAAUAAAAUGUAUUAGCCAAAGUUAUAAGCAAGGGAUGCAUUUUGUUUUUUUUAUUUGAUGGUUGCUUAACUUAAUAUCAUUAAUUGAUUAUAAAUGGGAAGGAUCUUAAUAAAUUCUCAAGGGUUUUUGGAAAUUCUAGAAAUACUACCCUAGAUAUUCUUAUUUAUUUAUUUUAUUAUUUUAUGAUAUAUAAAUUUUUUUCUUCUACUAUUUUUAGGUCUUACAGGCCACAAGGGAAAGAGAAGAUGAACUCAGAGCAGAAUUCCCCUAAUUUUUUCAGAAGUUCCUUAAUCUCGAGGACGAGAUUCUUUUUAUGGAGUAGGUUUGUGACACCUCAAAACCGUCAAAUAAAAAUAAUGUAUUUAAAUUAUUAAGUAGUGAGUAUAGUAAAGAGUUUUUCUUUCAAGUGUUUGAUCUUACUUACCUUUAGAAUAAUUUUUGUCUGUUCAUGUUUGAUUGAUGCUUGUUUUUAUAAAAUUUCUUUUAUAUUGAAAACCUAAUUAAUCAAUAUGGGAACUUUGUCAAA
Molecule: long non-coding RNA, 49448 nt
Filed under: Zea mays
Lineage: Eukaryota; Viridiplantae; Streptophyta; Magnoliopsida; Poales; Poaceae
Description: long non-coding RNA (ZMAY_LNC004897)
Source: RNAcentral